AUCCGACCGCCGCCUCUUAGCAAUAGCUCCAGGCAUGCAAUGGCCGCUUUAGGCCUCGCCGCUGCCGUACUUCUUGCCCAGCAGGAUGACCUGCAGCUGGUCGUAGCCCGCCAGCACACCGGCGCCAGCCACGGCACGCAGGAUGUUGGCGCCCGCGCCCUUGAAGAGCGACUUCAUGCCCUCGUUCUUCACGAUCUCCUGGAAGCAGUGGAACGAGCUGUUGUACUUGACAGCGGAGCCCGAGGUCAUCAUCAUGCGACGACGAAUGGUGUCGAUGGGGUAGGACGCCAGGCCUGCGGGUUGAUGCGGGAUAGGUACGACAUGAGCAACCAUUCCGCCGUUCUGUAGUGAGCAAGGAUUCUUACACCGUGCCGCAAGGGAUGUAUGCCAUGACCUUGCAUAAUAGCACGACCAAGCACGGCAGCACUCACCGGCGCCGAUGGUGAUGCCCCAGCCCAGCAGGAAAGCCGCCAGGAAGUUGUUGGCCAGGGGGCCGACCAGCACCACGGGCUUCAGCGAGUCGUACAUGCCGAAGUACAGGCCGCGGUACACAACAAUGCCCACGCACGAGAUGUUGAAGCCGCGGUACAGGCCCGCAAUGCCGUCGGAGGCGAUGGUCUUGCGGUACACGUCCACCAGGCCGUUGAACUGGCGGUCUCCGCCACCCUUCUUGGCCGACUUCGCGUCGUUGGCCAGACGGGUACGGGCGUAGUCCAGCGAGUAGACGAACGACAGCGACACAGCGCCGGCAGCACCGCCCGAGGCCAUGUUGCCUACACAGGAAGGACGGGGGAAAGUGUGGGUGAAGUGGGUCAACCCGGGCGGACCAACAACCCCUGUGAUACAAGCAUCUCAUGGGUCAUGCAAGACACAUGCAGCAAUGAAUCCCACAAUUCGUGACUGUCGGGGCUAGGCCCAACCGGGACCUACGACUGUUGCAAGACGGCCGACGCUGCACGCAGGCACGAACUCACCCGCGAACCACUUCCAGUACUCCUUGUCCUUGUUGAAGCCGAACAUGCGCUUGAACUUAUCCUUGAAAGCGAAGUUCAGGGCCUGCAGCACACAUCGCCGCUCAAGAGUCAGCUUGCCGGAAGGUCACAUGCCGCGCGAAAGUUCAAUCAACGUGACCACGUUCCCGCGCUUAGUUUGGUCAGCUCGGCGGCAACGCACCUGGGUGGGGAAGUAGCGAAUCACGUUGGCGGUGUUGCCGCGCCACAGCGAGCCAAAACCCUCCUCGCGGACGGUGCGCACGAAGCACUCGCCGAUGCCCUUGUAGGGGGAAGCCAGGCGGCCCUGCUUGAUCAUCUCAUCCUGGUUCUGGAUCAGCAGCUUCACACGCUCAAUAGGCGCGGCAGCUGUCUUGGACACGGCAGCAGAGAGGCCGCCGGCCAGGAAGUCCUGCGAGCAGUGCCGGCAAAGAGCAAUCAAUCAGGCUUCGCGGCCCCCGGCGGCUUUUGGGCUUAGAGCGCUAGAUCCGCGACAUUGCUUACCACCAUGAAGUUCUUCUCCUCCUUGGCCAUGUUGUCGGGACCCUUUCCGGGACGGGCGAGGGUUAUACCGAGAUGGAGAGGAGACGCUGGGCUCCUGCCGCUUACACUAGGCACCAACGACGCUACGACGCGCCAGAGGGGAAGUGGUAUGGGCAAACACCGCUGGGAAUGGGGCGAGUUGAGGCUGACUGAGGGCUCUUCAAAAGUCUGAGCGCGCGAUGGGGCCCGAUUUAGGCGCCCCCAUGCACUCGAAAUCUGCACGCUCGUCACACGCUACAAAUCGUAGUGACCUUAUUUAGCAUCUGAGUGAGACCACCGGUAGCCAGGGCGCGGGCUUGUGUGCAAGUGUGCAACAGGCUUCCGGCGCGAUUAGCCGGCGAGCAGUUUGCUGACGUGCAGUUGUCUACGCAUUUGAUGGCAGAAUGUCUAUCCGCUGCUACUCUGGGCUUGCAGAAUGUCGACAGCCGCUGAGGAAAGCCGACGACUCCCCUCCCCUCGGCGUGCUUCCCCCUUCGCGUGCCGGGCGGGUAGCAAGCAAGGUAGCAAGUCACUCCUCGUGCGCGCCAAAUGCACGGAGAGAGGCCCCCUCCCAAGUCUUCGAAUCCGCGCCUUUCCUACAAGUACCCCACACUAUACCACCAAAGCUGCAUUGCACAGGACUGCACCAAAUGCAAUCUGCUGAGACGCCAUUACAGCGCCUCUGAGUCUGAGUCUCCAAGAUAAACUCGCGUCUCUGCGUUUCUCUGCACCCCAACAGCUUCUCCCCCGACCUGCCAACACUGGUCUGCUUCUCUAUGCUCGUAUGCUUCUCUAUGCCUGGUAUGGUGCUCGGCUCCCUGACGCCGGGUUCUUCUACGUCUAAGGAGGCAGUUUCCCCACGAGUAAGCAAGAAUUGCUUACCGUGUGCAAAGAAAGAACCCCAGCUGCAGCUAGACACGCCACUAAGCACGCCAGACGCCGUGCUGUCCGAAACCAUAGGUUCUCGGACAAGCUUGGCCAUACGCCCCUAUCUGCUGGGGAUAGCUAACGCGAAACGCGUACUACUGCGCGAAUUAGAUGAGCCUACUGAGUCUGCACCUCAUGCCGCCCAUCCUGCUUACUACUACCGUACGUCGCCAACCGCUGAAACGGGCCACCGCGCCUGCAUUCUCGCGCACUAUGUAGCUAGCCUAUGUCCGGAUCUUGUGCACGGUGCGGCUGAGCGCCUCCUCCUCGCGCAGCUUAGCCUUGAAUGUGUCCAGUUUGGCCUACACGGCGGUAACAGGGGGCACAAGGGCCAGGGACACAGCCAGCUUUCAUAUGGACGCGGGGGACCGAGCAAGUGUUACCAACAAGGGAGGCCCGCCUGACCACAGCAGCCGACCCCCAGCCGUCCAAUCACGUAUCGGCAGCCUGACGCCCAUACCUACCUGCAGCUCCUGGAUGCCCUGACGCUUGAUGUUGAGCAGCGCGCUCAUCUGCUCUACGUAGUGGUCGAUCUCGCUGCCGGGCUUGUCCACCUCCUGCAGCAGCGCCAUCUCCUGCCGCAUGGUCUCCAUGUCCUCCUCCAGCUUGGCCCGGUGGAACGCCACCAGGUUCUCCUCCUCCAGCAGGAUGCUGUCCAUUAGCUCGUCAUGCCGCUCAGCUAGCGCCGCGGCGGAGCCCUCGCCGUCCGCGCCCGCCCCGCCCCCGCCGCCGCCAGCAAAGGCGCCCGCCUGCACAUGACGUGAAACAGCAACCAUCACAGCUUGAGGGAGAAAUUCGCUUCGUGCAUGGCGCUGGUGGUGUUACAAGCAUGCGCCCGCUCGUCCACACAUCGUCGUCCUCCCGAAACGUGAAGCUCAGUCGAACUUCCAUCACCAGCACCCGUGUCAUCUCCCCGAGCCCUGGCCAACCGGCAGGCCCACCUGUUGUCGGGGUGGGCUGGGGUAGCGGUCCGACGCGCGCUCGCGGUCCCGUUCCCGCUGCAGGUCCGCGCGCUCCCGCUCCCGCUCCGGUGCGGGCGCCGCCGCUUGCCCGGGCCCCGCCGCGCGCGCCACCGCCGCAUAAUAGGCGUCGUCACCCGGGGUCACGCCACCGGGCGUGCGGUCCGCCUUGUCCUUGCGCAACUCUGCGGCGCGGCCCGGCGUGCAGUUUUUGUUUCCACCUUGUCAGGUGGUGCUCAAUGAUGCAGUCGUGAACAUAAAUCAACACCUGUAUGCCUGCCGCCAGCGCCUGCCCUUCGACCUAAGCCAGUGCCGGCCCAACAUCCCCUCCACAUCCCACAUCCAACCCACCCUUGACGCGGUCCGCGUAUCGCAGCGUGUUGAGGGUGUGCUCCACGCUGCUGGAGCAGGGCGAGAUGUUGGCGAUCAUGACCGUGCGCGCCUGGUCGCCCACAAACGAGUCACGCAGCACCGCCGUGAGCUUGGAGCCGCGGAACGGCACGUGGCGCGCAUCGCUGUCAAGCGCGCGGAUGCACUCCUUGAGCGCCAGCAGCGACUUGUUGAUUUCCGCGCCCUCCAGCCGCGUCUGACGGUUGUUGUCAAAUGUGUCGGCUCCACGCUCACUGCCCGCCAGGUCGAUGAACGAGAUCUUCCCCACCACGCGCGGCUCAGGCGCAUCCUCGCCGCGCCGAAAGCCGCCGGCCGGCGCGGGCGCGGCCCGCUUGAGCGCGAACUGCAUGAUGGAGUGCGAGCGCGACGAGUCGGCGUUGGCGGCGGUGGAGCCGGUGGAGCGGUUCUUGGCGCUCUCCUCGAUCAGCGCCUUGACACCGUCCACGUCGUCCACGCCAAACUCCUUGAGCCCCACCACCACCACCUUCUUCUUGCCGUCCUCCAGGAUGUUCAGCUUCUUGCGUGCGUUGAGCAAGUCGAACACCUGAGGGGGCGAGCGGACGUGCGGGCACAAGGGCCAGGGACAGAGCAGGAUAUGUGCAGUGAGUCAGCCGACAUGCUGCGGCAAUGCAGGUCAUACAAUCCAGAAAAUGCAGGACUAUGCAGGCGGCAAUCUGCCCCAACCCAACCCUACGUUUCUCCAAAAGCACCCCAGGCGCUCAGUAGUAGAUCCGCUUGCUGCUGCACCCCGAACCCGUGCUGCCAGGGCCCGCACGACCCAUUGUGCACCGCCAAACCCCUUUGUGCCAACACGCACACGUGCAGCGCCCCCACCCCUCUGCAAACCCGCAGGCCUCCCAGCCCACACCUUGUUGCCGUAGAUCUCAAAGCACGACACGCACAGGCUGAUGUCCCGGUACUGCUGCUGCGCCAUGAAGGUGAAGAUGUCGGCGGAGGCGCGGAUGGGCAGCGGCGACAUGGUGUACGUCUUGCCACUGCCCGUCUGGCCGUACGCGAAGCAUGAGGCGCGGCCGUUGCGGAACAGCGUUCGCACCAGCGGCCCCACCGUGAGCUGGUACACGGCCUCGUUGCUCACGUUCUCGUCCAGCGACUCGUCAAACUUGAACGCGUGCUUUUCCAGGUACUUGGUCAGGUCCACCUGGGGGCGGGCCGAUGUGCAUGCACAGGUGACGAGGGCUAGGCAGGCCUGUGCCCGAGCCCUAUAACUCAUCCAGGCGUACGGUGAAUUCCCAUGUAAACGGCGCAGUUGCAAUCCGCAUCCGUCCGGGGACACGGUCACGGCCGCAGCCCCGCCUGCCACGCAAGCCCCUGAGACCCAGACCUGACAGGUCACGCACCUUGACCUUCUCCUCGUUCACCACGACGGUGUUGUUUUUGGCCAGCACGUCCACCACGUCGUCAUCGCCGCGCUCCCGCUCCUGCGUGCCGCAGGCACAUAUGCAGUGGCUGCACAGGCACCCGCAACCGCACAUCCCGCAGUUGCAACACUACAAUCCUCACCAUGGCCAGGCCCCGUCACCCACCGCCCCACCUGCCCACGAUGCUCAAGCUGCAUGCGCAACGGUCACCUCGUGCCCACCCACCUUUUUGCUGAUGGGGCGCUUGCGCACGACGACACGGAUUUUGGGCGGGUCCUCUCCUUCGGAUGGUGGCACGCCCCCACCCCCGGAUGGCACGGGCGCCUUUGGGUUCUGGUUCGCGAGGGGCGACAGCUGAAAGUUGACGCCGGCCUGCAUGUUUGAGACGAUGUUGACAUGCAGCAGGAACGCGCGGGAAGGCAAUUAGGGUGCACCCGAGCCCGCAAUUGCACGCCGCUCACGUCGGCCAGUAGAUCCCCGUCAUUCUCAUCAAGAUCGAUCAGCGCAUUCGGCUUCUCGAGCGCUGGAGCCGGAGCAUCCGACGACUUCACAGACGCCGCGAUAGAUUUGAUAAGCCUGAAGAGCCGCUGCUUAUCUUCAAGCUCUACAACGCCGUAGGAAGCAUAGUCGCUCAUCAUGAGCCCCAGGAACGCCUGGUCUGAAACUCCACUGAAUGCGGGGACAAAGCGCUUGAGCCCCGCAUCCUCCAGCCCACGAGCUACUGAUGAGCUAACCAUGGCGUGAGUGUUGGUUGCGAGCUGCUCAGAACAGGCUAGGCCUCUACAACGACAUUGCCUUUGAAGGUUGAACAGUCCGUGAGAGACUACACAUGCGCCUAAAGUAAUGCUGCUAACUAACAGCCAUCAAAAUGCAUGAGCAACACGGUGAAUGCACGAUCGAGCCUACAAGAAGCAAGACCCCGCUGGCCCGCCCAUUGACAGUGCCUGCACGCGUGCCGUGCCCUAGUACAGCGCAACGUCCGAGUUUCUUGAUUCGUCUUUACAGGGGGCGUAAUUCUGCGUAUUACGUGUAUUAGAGGCUGUGUCCUUGCCCCUGCUUGUCAUACUGCCCCAGUGCCCGGCGCCCCGGCCACUGCUUUGCCACACUCGUGGCUACACUCUCUCUGCACUUCAUUCGUGGAAGCUGUCGCCUGCCUNNNNNNNNNNNNNNNNNNNNNNNNNNNNNNNNNNNNNNNNNNNNNNNNNNNNNNNNNNNNNNNNNNNNNNNNNNNNNNNNNNNNNNNNNNNNNNNNNNNNNNNNNNNNNNNNNNNNNNNNNNNNNNNNNNNNNNNNNNNNNNNNNNNNNNNNNNNNNNNNNNNNNNNNNNNNNNNNNNNNNNNNNNNNNNNNNNNNNNNNNNNNNNNNNNNNNNNNNNNNNNNNNNNNNNNNNNNNNNNNNNNNNNNNNNNNNNNNNNNNNNNNNNNNNNNNNCACUCGGGGGUACACUCUCUCUGCACUUCCUUUUUUGGAGCUGGUCGCCCCCCCGCAGAUGCGCUGCGCCGUUUUUUCGCGCGUGUGGCACAACGGUGUGUGUGUGUGUGUGUGUGUGUGUGUGUGUGUGUGUGUGUGUGUGUGUGUGUGUGUGUGUGUGUGUGUGUGUGUGUGUGUGUGUGUGUGUGUGUGUGUGUGUGUGUGUGUGUGUGUGUGUGUGUGUGUGUGUGUGUGUGUGUGUGUGUGUGUGUGUGUGUGUGUGUGUGUGUGUGUGUGUGUGUGUGUGUGUGUGUGUGUGUGUGUGUGUGUGUGUGUGUGUGUGUGUGUGUGACUACGGUUUCCACGGUUAUUCUGCCAGAUCACGUGAAUCGUGUAUCUGGUAUAACCAACGACAGGGCUCUCAAUCGAGGGCUGCCGUGACCUGGCGUUUCCCCGGCAGAGCGCAAACAGCUCUGGAGUCCACAGGGCAACGCACUCCGACCCUUCACCGCGCCAGUAAUCCUUGCGGAAUUACUACCGGUGUAACAACCUCAGACCCAGCGGGCGAGCUACCUCUUAAAAAACCAGGCGGGCAGACAAAAAACAGCAAACAUAACAAAACACGCAGCACGCGACAGCACGCGAAAGCACGACCACAGUGGCUGUGGGGCUGAGUCCUACGACCUGGCAGCCUGCACGACCUCAACCGCAACCUAACCAGCUCUCGACGCCAGGGCAGACAAUGCCUAAGGGCAGCCACAAACGCGUCUGGCCACUAGGCCGGUCCAGGCCGUAAGACCCGGGGUGUUGCAGCACCCAAUACACCCUCUCAGGCAUAAAAACCCCGCAAACCUGGCCCUGCUCCCACGGGCGUAAAACAAAAAAACCCUUCGCCUGCCCACUAAGCUCCCCCGCUGACCCUCUCGUAUGCCACUGCUUCAGUGGCUCAUGUUAGUGCUCACGCGCUUCUCCUAAGGGCUGAUCCCUUUCAAGCCUCCAGCUCCAUAGCUUGCGGCAUCGCGCACAGCAUUUCACCGUUCACCACCGCCAGGAUGGGGUGAGUGGCGUCAACACCAUCCCAGCCCUUUUGGGGCACGCCGAGCUGCGCAAACUGCAUCAGCCGCGACCAGAAGUCCGCGACUGCACGAGCGCACGCAAGCUCGACGGGGUUGACGCCUGGCUGCGGCGGCGUCAGCUGUGUGGGCGGGAUCUCGUCAAGAUCGGGUUCCGCCUCCGCUGCACCUGCCACCGCAGCCUCGGGAGCUGCUGCCGCCGCCGUCUGAAUUCCCAGGGCCGCUGCGGCGCGCGUCAUCCCGCGCAGCCGCACCCGGCCAUGUUCUGUGGCGGCCAGCGCCGCCAUCACCACCACGUCCCAAACACACUGCUGAAAACCCGGCGGCGCCUGAACCAGCCACAGCUGGGCUUGGCUGAUGGGAGCCGGACCGGGGUUGUGUGCGUUGAUCUGCGCCACCACGGCCUUCGCCACCGUGUGUGUGUGUGUGUGUAAGUGUGUGUUAAAGAGCACAAGGAAAACGUUGCGCAAAGACAGUGUAUGCGAUGCAGCAAAGCGACGGUUUACGGAUGUUACCUGAAGUUACCUCGCAUACCUGCUGCGGUGAGCCGCCGGUCUUACCAACCGGAAAUCGCGCAACCCCCGCUACUCUAACCUCGAGGGGGGAUUAGUGUCCACACGCUCUCAAGGGUGCAAACCCAUGCAUGUGCUCACGGUACCGUGAGGCCCAGGCACUCCUACAAUUCCUAGCUCCGCGUCGCUACUCCUGGCCGCUAAGUCCAAGCUCCCGCCCAAUCCUCGAUGAAAUUCUCACCUACGAGCGAAUAAGAAAACAACAGAGCACAGGGCGGCAGCAGGGGAGUGUCACGAACAAGAGCGAAGGAACAUGUUAGCGCGGCGGCGCGCGACGAGCAAGAGCAAACACGCAGCCCAGUCCCAGCCCAAGUGUGUGUGUGUGUGCGUGUGCGUGUGCGUGUGCGUGCGUGUGUGUGUGCGUGUGUGUGUGUGUGCGUGUGCGUGUGCGUGUGCGUGUGCGUGUGCGCGUGUGCGUGUGUGCGUGUGCGUGUGCGUGUGCGUGUGUGCGUGUGCGUGUGCGUGUGCGUGUGCGUGUGCGUGUGCGUGUGCGUGUGCGUGUGCGUGUGCGUGUGCGUGUGCGUGUGCGUGUGCGUGUGCGUGUGCGUGUGCGUGUGCGUGUGCGUGUGCGUGUGCGUGUGCGUGUGCGUGUGCGUGUGCGUGUGCGUGUGCGUGCGUGCGUGCGUGCGUGUGUGUGUGUUAAAAAACGAAACGAAAGCCCGCCCAAUGACGCGACGGAGUUACUUACCGAUACCCACCAUUUUACCGAGCGUCGCGUGACUGUCGUGACCCAGGUAGUCAUACUUACCCGCGAUAAGCCUGGAACCCCACGGGCGACCAUUCGGCCUGACCCCGCGAUGCACCUGUAUGCGUCCAUGCUCCGCACCCUGGGCGCGCUAAACAACGUUUACCCAGCACGCCUAAUUCCCGGAUUCCCGCCCGCUGGUCGUAGUCGAGCUCACCUAUAGGCAAAGGUGGAAGCAUGAGCAUAGGGCGGCAGCGAGGAAGUGUCAAGGGCAUGUGAAUGGCAACGGCGAUAAGAGAGGCGGCGUGCAGCAGACAAGCUAGGUAUCACGCGUCCCAAAUCCCGCCCACUAAGUACAAUAACACUAUUGGAAGAGGGCGAGUUAGCGGUGGCACUGCGACUAAACGGGGUCGAGGCUGCAUGGGGGACGUGGCGGGCGGCGGUUGCAGCGUUUCCAGACGCGUGUCAAGCUGGUGUGUGUGCGUGUGACGUGUGUGCGCCGUGGGCUGGCGGGAGCUGGCCUCCCGCUCCCCACGUUGCGGUGUGUCUGUGUGGUGCUAUCGCCUGGCCGGGCGCCCGGAGCGUGAGGAAUGCGCGUCAGCAAACUUCCAGCCAGCCAGCAACUCAUCGGUACAGUAACUCCGGCGUUAAACCCGCCGCGCACUCUUGCCCUGCCUCUGCCAACUGUUUGCCAUUUGUUGGGUAUGGGAAUUAGCUGCGCCCUAAGGGACUUUACCAGCCUGCCUUGCCACUGUCCCAUCACACACUCCCGCUCCCCACUCCACGGCGGCACCGAGGCUAGGCACGCUCGCGGCCGCAGUGGCCGCGUCGGCUGUUCGUGACGAGCCCCCCAUCCCCCACCCCCCAGAAUCCAGUUACCCCCCUGAUAGUGAACACACGUGUGUGUGUGUGUGUGUGUGUGUGUGUGUGUGUGUGUGUGUGUGUGUGUGUGUGUGUGUGUGUGUGUGUGUGUGUGUGUGUGUGUGUGUGUGUGUGUGUGUGUGUGUGUGUGUCUGGUGCUCUCGCCUGGCCGGGCGCCCGAAGCGUGAGGAAUGCGCGUCAGCAAACUACCAGCCUGCCAGCAAGUCAGCGAUGUCUCGGCACAGGAACUCCGGUGUUAUAUGAUAAUAUGAUACCCGCCACGCGAUCUUGCCUUGGCGUUGCAAAUUGAGAUCUGGAAGUACGCUGCAUACUACGGAACAACGCCAACCCCAUCGGCCCCGUGCGUGGGGGAUCCCCUCGCAGUGAACUGGGUUGGGAAGGUCAGGCCUGGCCAGGCGCCCUGGGACGUACUGCGCAAGGGUGUCAGUGAUUGAAUGCUGCUUUCAUACGUUCUCACUCCUCAACGUUACAAGCAACAAAGCAAAACAGCAAGCCCCACAGUCGGUGCUGAAAACCCGAAACCCCCAAGUUCACUUUGACCUGGUGGCCGUUAGGCGUCCUUCAGUUGCCUCCCACCGGCAGACCAGUGGGCGGGAAGUAAAAAGCAAAAACACGGCAGAACAGUACUGUAAGAUAGAAAGAGACAAACGGCAGAUACUGCUACCAGCAGCAGCUGCGCUACUUAGAGGCGCAAUAGCGCCUCGUACGGCACUCCGUGCCAUACCACUUAAUCGUCGUGAGAACCUGCCUUCUGCGACGCUCAUACUUCGCUCCGGAGAAGUCAACAUUGAAGGUACGGUAAUGCAUCUCCGCCACCCUCCGGUGCGGCGUAUGUACGGCUUGUUUCGGUCUUGCGUCCAUGUUGGCCUCACACGGAUUGGUGUCGCCCGACCACUGGCUGGCUGUGCCUGACUCCGUGCUCAGUGCUUAGCGUAUGCAUGCAGGACCUUCCGACCUUGUGUUUUUGGAAUGAUGCUGUACGGGGUGGGCGCCCCCUAGCCGACUCAGUGCAGUUCCCAACUGCACGGCUGCACACGGUUCCGCGAUUCGUGCCAGGUCUACCAUCCCUUGGUGCGCUGAUGUGGCAUGCUGGGGGGUCGCGGCGGGGCCUCGGGGCCGCAGGAGCCCCCAAUCUGGCUGAAACAGGCUGAAAUGCAUGGUGGCGCGCCAAAGCUCACCCAUGACCAACCAGGCCCUCGCAGCUUAUAUAUUGCACUUCGUAUCUUGCUGUCUUCUGCCAUGGUGUGAAACACCCAGGAAUGAGGCGGCCGCGUUAACCCGGUAUCCUUCCUGCAGACAGCGGUGUUUGCUUAUGUUUACUCACUGAUCGCGGGAGCUUGCGACUAGCGAAGGCAAAGGAAAGUUAGCCGCUGAGCGCACGAGAUCCUGGCUUUCGCCCAACAUGGACCUCGGGGAGGAACCAGCGAUGCAGUAUGGAGGCAUGGAGCUACAGACGAGUGGUAAGCUCCUGCCGUGGUGAGUGCUUGUCUGGGGUUGGCGCUAAUCCACAUCCUUGCAGGUGAGGCCCUGGCGCAGCACCAGGAUGGCGGUCACGUAGAGGCGCAACAGUCUGUGGCAGUGGAGCGGGCUGUGGCCGAGCCCGCUGCGGCCGAGGCGGGCUCGGCUGAGCCGGCCGCUGGUGAGGGCCAACCCAACGGCGCCGAGCACGCGGCUGCGGGCGAGGGCGACGGCGACGGCGAGGGCCAGGGCGGCGACGAGCAGCCCAGGCGGAGACGGCGUAAGUGGGGGCCGCCGGCACUGGAUGCGCCAGGCGGGGUGGAGGGGCAGGGUGCUGCCAGCGGCGGUGGGGGCUCGACGCCCACGCCUCCACCGGACGGCGGCGAAGGCGAUGAAGCGGAGCGCAAACGGCGGCGCAGGAGCAGGUGCGUUCGUGCGGUCUUCCUUGUAGGGGGAGCAGAAUUGCAUUGCGUGCAUCAAACGGGAGCUGGGGAUGCGUGUAUGUAGUUGGGGAUGGCAGACAAACGCAGUGUUGCAGCUCCAGCCGUGUUCCACUACACUGGUGGGACGGGACAGGAGUCAUCCUGCCUGACGAGGAAAGGCAUGAACGAGUAACAUGCUAGCGCACCUCCCAAUCUGUCUUGCACGUCUACGCGGCCACAGGUGGGAGGAGAGCGACGGCAGUGCUGCGGCCAACACGGCCCUGGCGGUGGUGCCGGCAGCGGGCGGCGGCGCGCUCAUGGCGCUGUUCCCCAGGGAGGUGGUGCUGUCGGGCGGAAUCAAGGUGCGUGUAGGGGGGGGUUUACAAGCAUGAUUAUGUUUAGAAGAAGUGAACUUGUAGCCAGCGGGGCGGGGGACCGGGAGAGCGCGACAGUGCGCGGAGGUCGGGUGGGUUGGGCGGGGGUGGGGUGUUGCGAGCAUGGCGAUGCGUGAGCGGCGAGAGGUGGGUGUGGGUGUGGCGGCACGGUGUGGCGGGGUUGGGCGGCUGCUGGGCGCUAUACGGGAUACAGACAACAUGGCGGAAGCGUCUUGUGUCAAAGGCGAGGUUGGCGACAAUCAUGAGACGGUGUGCGUAAGUGGCCAGGGGCAGUGGAAGGAUUGGGCAAACAGCCAUGCCUGUGCUCGAGGCGAUCACGCCAACUCAUGGUCUUUACGUCUUCCUGCCAACCAACCACCACUGCACGCGCCCCCCAGGUGUCUCUGCCCUCCGCCAUCACGGGCGCCCCAGACUCCUCCCUGGCCGCCACCGACCCGCGCGUCAAGGCGCUGCACGGCGAGCUGGAGACACUCAACAGGCGGCUGCAGGUGCGGCCGCGUAAGGAGGGCACGCAGGGAAACGGGUUGACACUGUGUAUGCGAUUGCGCAAGCGAACGUAUUUAGUUGAUGGGCGUCAGGUGGGGGUGGUGUCUUCCAAGCCCAACAUCGCUGAGCAACGUGUACUACCGAACCAGAAAACUUGCCGCUGAGCGCGGAGGAGGCGCGGCAUUCACCAUUCUUUCAAAUUAACAACUCGGGCAAAUGUUGUGCACAUUGUCCGCAUCGAUCUGAGCGCCCUGCCACUGCCGCCACUGCCAACGCCAUUCUGCUGCGUACACUGCGCCCGCACACUCUAAAUGCGCAUUCUUUACAUGCCCUUUUUCACCCUUUUCCUUGUCUGUUCACUGCCACACACACGCGCACACACACACACACACACACAUGCACACACACCACAAACAGAACAACGAGCUGGACAUCCCCCCGGAGGGGGACCCGCGCCGUUCGCCCUCGCCCGAGCCCGUGUACGACCGCAACGGCAUCAGGCAGAACACACGAGAGAUACGGUAGGGCCAGGCGGGCAGGGCAGGGCGGUUGAGGGGGCGCCAACGGGUGUUGCGCUUGCUCCCUGGCUGGCGUGCUUGACCAUCUAUGCUUGGCAAGCAUGCGCCGGCACCCGCGCCCGCCUCCCGGUCCCCCAGUCCUCCGGAACCCCCGUCCGCCCCUGCAUUCCUGCCCUUUCUCCGGUUCUGGAUUAUCGUCUGCUUCCUCCACCGCCUCAUCCCUUCCUCCCUUCACCCCGUGUUCCCGCUGUACCCCUGGACGUCGGCAGUUCCAUCCUUUGAUACAUACCGUUCGCAUGAGUGGCUACCCCCGAUGGUCUACCGUCUACCACCUCCCUAACUAUUCAUGAGUGCAAACCCCCGCCUGCAGCUACCGCGAGCGGCUGGUGGACGCCCGCAACAAGGUGGUGGAGGAGCUGCUGCGCGAGGACCCCGGCUUCAAGCCGCCCACAGACUACAGGUGGGAAGGGGGGAGGGGUGCGUGGCCGUUUGCCAAGUGGAACGGCACACAGCAGCGGAAAGCGACCAUCAGAGUGCGGAGCAAGUGUGGCCUGGGUUUGUGCUGUGGGCGCCUCUUUCCGGGGGAAGGGCAAAGGGGUGAAUGGGCUGAGAGACGGCCGGGCUGGGCGUGCGCACUGAUGGGAGGGGGGUGAUGGGAGGGGGGAGGAAAAGCCUAGUGGGCUGAGCGCUGCGCUGGUGGGGCAUGGGCGCGCAGCAAGUCCUCCGCAGGUGUGAAGGGCGAGGCGGGGCGGCCCACACCGUAGGCCCAGCGUUCGCAUCGCAGGAUGCCUCCUCGCACACGGUAGGCCACCCGCCGGCGCCCCACGCCCCAGCUGCUUUGACCCACAACCCUCCUCCUCGUCCUCCCCGCCCUCUCCUCACUUGCGGAUUCCAGCAAUAGACAGUGCAUCCCAGCGCACUCUGGCUAUCAUUUUGGGUUUUGUAACCCCACCCCCGCCCUCCCCCUCCUCUCCACCCCCAGGCCCAAGAAGUACUGGAAGAAGGUGUACAUCCCGCAGGACACCUUCCCCACCUACAACUUCAUCGGCCUCAUCAUCGGGCCGCGCGGCAACACGCAGAAGCGCAUGCAGAAGGAGACCAACACCAAGAUCGCCAUCCGAGGUGGGCGGGCAGGCUCCUUCGCGCCUCCCUGGCACAGGGCCGAGCUGCUGUGUUGACUUGCAGCACCUGCUGCACCCUUGUCCGACCCCCUCCCCCUCCGGCCCUGCCUUGUAAUGCUCGUUACCCAAACCCGCAACAGGCCGGGGCAGUGUGAAGGAGGGCGCCAGCCGCGACCCCAAGUACGACUACGGCGAGGAGGAGGAGCUGCACGUGCUCAUCACUGGCGAGCGGCAGGAGGACGUGGACAAGGCGGUGGACAUGAUCGAGCGCCUGCUGGAGCCCAACGACGACACGCUCAACGAGCACAAGCGCCUGCAGCUGAGGGAGCUGGCGGCGCUCAACGGAACACUCAAGGACGAGACGGUGAGGGGGGGGCUGGCGACCUGGGGAGGGGGUGGGAGGGCGGUGGAGGUACAUCGGCAUUGGCAUUGGCAGAGGGGAGCGAGCCGUACCCAAAACCCAUCUCGCCAAUGCCGCAACAUUGAGGGGGCUAUAGAGGGGGGGCUCUGCAAAGGGGUGGUCAUGGUGAUGGAAAAGCCGGGUUGGGCGGCUGUGAAGGCUGGGAGCUCCGCUCAAUCUGGCGAUGCGGCUGGCUUCUCUCCCAGCAUCCACCUCGCGAUCGCGCACGCGCCUCGCCUGCUCCCCGUUCACCCCUUGCCCGCUCCCCUCCCACAGGCCUGCUACGUGUGCGGCGACACCUCCCACCGCGGCUUCGAGUGCCCCAAGCAGCAGGCGGUGGAGGUCUACAAGUGAGCGCGGGGCAGUCGGGCGGGGGCAUGGGCGACGCGAGUGCAGGUUAUUUGGGCAUGGCCAGGAAUUCAUAACAAACCCAAGGCACUUGCAAGCCGCUGUUGAAUUACCCUGCCCACUCCUCUCCUACCUCCUCAGGCUGCCUGAGGAGAUGCGCCAAAAGGUGGAGGAGCUGUACGCGCGCGACGUGGCGCGCAUGGCGGGCGAGGGCGGCGGCGGGCGCGGCCCCGGGCUGGAGGACGAGUACAAGAGCUUCCUCAGGGUGAGGCGGGAGCGGGGGGNNNNNNNNNNNNNNNNNNNNNNNNNNNNNNNNNNNNNNNNNNNNNNNNNNNNNNNNNNNNNNNNNNNNNNNNNNNNNNNNNNNNNNNNNNNNNNNNNNNNNNNNNNNNNNNNNNNNNNNNNNNNNNNNNNNNNNNNNNNNNNNNNNNNNNNNNNNNNNNNNNNNNNNNNNNNNNNNNNNNNNNNNNNNNNNNNNNNNNNNNNNNNNNNNNNNNNNNNNNNNNNNNNNNNNNNNNNNNNNNNNNNNNNNNNNNNNNNNNNNNNNNNNNNNNNNNNNNNNNNNNNNNNNNNNNNNNNNNNNNNNNNNNNNNNNNNNNNNNUUGUGUGCGUGUGUGUGUGUGUUUGUGUGCGUGUGUGUGUGUGUGUGUGUGUGUUUGUGUGCGUGUGCGUGUGCGUUGUGUGUGUGUGCGUGUGUGCGUGUGCGUUGUGUGUGUGUGUGUGCGUGUGCGUGUGCGUUGUGUGUGUGUGUGUGUGUGUGUGUGUGUGUGUGUGUGUGUGUGUUUGUGUGUGUGUGUGUGUGUGUGUGUGUGUGUGCGCGCGUGUGCGCGUGUGCGCGUGUGCGCGUGUGUGCGUGUGUGCGUGUGUGUGCGUGUGCGUGUGCGUGUGCGUGUGCGUGUGCGUGUGCGUGGGGUGGAGUUCAUUACCAAAGAAACUUAGACAAGAAGCAGGGAAGCGUGGCCGAUUUGGACAACGGAGUGAUUGAAUCAGGGGAGGAGCGGGCGGUUGGACUGCUGAUAAUGCUAGGAUGACUAGGAUGGUGACCAAAACGAGAGUAGCGGGAUCGGUCGUCAUCGAUGGUGUGAUUGGGUGUCUGUGGCGCUGUCAACAUGAAGCAGCGCCCCGCCUAACCUUGUACCCCCGCCCUCUCUCAGCUGUACGUGGCCGGCCUGCCACCCAUCUACAACGACGCCAUGCUGAGGUCCAUGUUCGAGCCGUACGGACACGUGAGCGGGCGGAAGGGGGGUGGGGUGGGGGCGGGCAGGACGAGGGGAGCCGUUCAUGGAGAACGGAGUGAUGAAAUCAACACUAGGGGAAGGGGGAAUUGGGGCGCGGGUGGUCGAGGUGGUGUCUGGGGUGCCUGGCUUGGGUGCUGCCGCACGGUGUUGCCGGACAUUCCUACACAGGCACCCAACAAAGAGCCAGCACAAAGGCGCUCUCUCUCUCUGCCCUCCACUCAUCCCCCCCACCCCCAGGUGCUGUACGCGGUGGUGGCCACGGACGGCGCCGGCAACAGCCGCUGCUUCGGCUUCGUGCACAUGCCGGACGCCGCCACAGCCCGGGCCGCGCGCGACGCCGUGGACGGGCGGCCGCUGGAGGGCCGCCCGCUCACGGUGCGCCUGCGCAGCGAGCGACACGAGCCGCGCGGGCGGGGCGGGCCAGGCGGCGGCGGGCCGGGCGGCGGCGGCGGCCACGGGGGUCUGGAGGGCGUGGACGACGCCUGCAAGCUGUACCUGGGCCAGCUGCCGCCCAGCGCCACAGAGCAGGUGCGGGUGAAGUCGUGUGUUGGUGUGGGACCGUGGUAUUGCAAGGGAUGUGUGCGCGUGUGCCGGGAGUCGGCACGGCCCCCUCGCUACUGUGCUCAGGUCGGCAGCCCUCUUGGCUGUGACACGUGAUCCCCGCCUUUCCCCAUCCGCUACGCCUGCCCCCGCCGGCACUUUGGUCUCGCUGCACCACCUGACGGAGUAUACAUGCGAAAGCCCCCCCUCCCACUGUUCCUGGCUACGCCUUCACUUCUUUUACAUCAUGAAUGUAAACCCCCCCCCCCCUCCACGACGCCUCGGCCCCCUCCCAUACGUAUUAUCGCUUUGCAACUGACGCCUCUGGCUGUGCUCCACUACUUUUGCUUGGUUCGGUGUAGACUGAGCUGGUGUUUUCAACCCCGCCCCCAACCCCUCGCCCGCUCCUGAAUGCCCCGCCCCCCCCCCUUCAGCUGCUCAAGCCGCUGUUCGAGCCGUUUGGCGGUGUGCUGGAGCUGCGCCUCAUCCGUGACCGAGACACAGGGGCGCUCAAGGUGCGUGGGCGGGAGUGCGCGUGCGCGCGCGCGUAUGCGCGCGGGGGGGAGGGGUGUUUCAUAGUAAUGGAAACAAGAACGCGCGGAACGUGCGUGUUUUUCAAGAGUCCUUGAAAACCAAGCGAGAAGCAAACAAUCCGCCGCAUUUGUACGGGCGAUCAGCUGGGUGGGGCUUGAGUGCUUGACGUGCUGCCUUCCGAUUCCAACCCAUCCUCCCGCCUCCCACUCCACGCCUUAACGCAUCUUCCGCAUCCCGCUCGGCAGGGCUUUGGAUUCCUGACCAUGGCCACCCCCGCCGCCGCCGCCGCCGUGCUACGCGCCAUGCACGGCUACCGGCUGGACGGCAAGUCCAUUGUGGUCAAGCAGGCGGGCGCGCCGGGAGGAGGCCCGGGAGGCGGCGGCCCGGGCGGAGGCGGACAUGGAGGCGGCCACGGCGACCACCACUCGCGCCUGGUGAGCAGGUCAUGGCAUUGCGCGGGUAUGAACAAUGCCCUGCUCUACUUGUGAGAUGCCGUUGCACCUACCCGCCACUGUCCACUCAGCAGCCGCCUCUGUCCGCCACACCUGCCCGCCACCCUCCCCCCUCCCCAGGGCCCGGGCCGCAUGAUGGGACCCGGCGGCCCGUUCCCGCCCCCCGGCGGCCCACCACCCCCGCCCGGCGGCCCGCCACCGCCCUACCCGCCGCCCUACCCACCGCCUGGAGGGCCCCCGCCGCCCUACCCGCCGCAUCACCCGCCGCACUACCCGCCGCCCGGCGGCCACUUCCCGCCGCAGCAGGGCUACGGCGGCCACUACGGCGGCCCGCCGGGUGGCCCCCCGCCGCCCUACCCGCCGCCAGGGGGGCCCUACGGCGAGCCCGCAUAUGGCGGCCCGCCGCCGCCGCCCUAUGGGGCUCCGGGGCAGGAGCACGGGGGCUAUGGCUACGGGGGUGGCGGGGGCUACGGCUACGGUGGGCCUCAGGGUGGAUACGACGGCUACGGGGCAGGCGGCUACGGCGCCCCCCCGCCGCCGUCAUACGCCCCGCCCGGCGCCCCGCCGCCGCCGCCCCCUGACGGCGAGCAGCCGCCGCUGCCGCCCGGGGCUGAGCCGCCGCAGCACCAGUACGGCGGCCACCACCACCAGGCACCGCCGCCGCCGCCGCCCGGGCCGCCCCAGCAACAGGCGCACGAGGUGACCGAGUACGAGCGCUUCAUGGCGGAGAUGCAGCGGGGCCAGUUCUCAUGAGAGCGCCGGGUUGCGGCCCUCGGUUGCGGCCCUCAGGUCCACGUUCGCUUGGAGCGGGAAAACUACUUUCUUGUCUUAAGGCAACGUUAGACUAUAAGUUUACAAGUUGCGGCGAAAAAGACUCCCGUUUGACGGCGAAUUGGCAAGAGAAGCAGGCGACACGCCUCGAUGGGAUUUUAGGGAAUGGGGGUAACCUAUGGAACCAUGAUGUCCUGUAAUGUGCUUGUUAAAGACCGGGGAGUCUUCGGAACCAUGAUGGCGGGAAGAGACCUCCAUCCAUGCACAUCGCCCAUUCGCGCCAUCGGCAUUUGGCUCAAAGCGCUUCAGCAUGAGUAACUGCAAAUAUGUAUACCAGGAAGCCGAUCAUCGUCAGUCACAUAACGCCUUGUGAACGACCAAGAGAAGCUUUGUGCACGAAGUUCAGCAUGUCUUUCUGUGCAAAAUGCUUUUUCUUACUUGAAGAUCAGGCUCUCCGCAACUAAUUCUGCAGAAUUAUGCUAGAAAGCUUAGCACAGCGCGGCAAUUAGAACAAGGCCCCUUGCGGCCUUUGGACCCUUCAAGUGCUCUACAUUCCAGUGGCGUAUGAGUGCACAGGAAUGCUGCCGAUCCAUCGAUACAGGGCUAGCCGUGGAGGUGUGGCAUCCCGCCUCCCGCCACUUCGCACUUUGUAAGUGGUCACAGACAAAAACUUGUUUUGUCAGUUCUGUAUGACAAGUACUAAUGCCUAGUGGAUCCACGCAGAGCCGCUUGGACGCUGGGUGCCAUCGUACUUGCGCUGUCCGCGCGCUCACUGCUGCUCACGGCCUCUGUUCGACAGCUGGCCGAUGACUUCGGGCCACAGGCCAGCCACUGUAAUGGCCAUGACUGCCAUAUGCACUUAGUCGGCAGCUCACAACCGCUGGUCUGGAGCACGAGCUCGCCGCAACACCUAACCGGCAGCCUGAAGGGCUUUGAUAUCAGCAAACAUGGGCCAGCCACACUGCGGUCUUCUGGAAGCUCCUCAAGCGGAUCGUGGAGGUGAGCAAGGCUUGCGGGGCUGCAGGGGCUGAGCUGUGUAUCGGGUUCGGGGCCUCGCCUGACACGCUUGGGUGCGUACACAACGCUCACAAACAGUUUUGGAGCUUGGGUAUCGCUGGACGGCCACUUGGAGACGGCGAUGGACGUGACGGCUAUGUCGUACGGGUCUGUCAGCCUCAAGUUCGCAGCGCCGGGCGUGCCGUACCUCGUGUCCAACCCAAAUUGGCCCGACACGCGGCGGCGCUUCAGCCUGCUCACCGGCAUCCGCGGCCACUGCGGCGACAUGAGCCUACCGGGUCGCCGCACCACCUCGGACGAGGACGCAGCCAUGCUGUGUGCAACCACGCCAGGUGCGGACGGAGCGGCGUGGGCUGAGACCUCGGUGGCCCUGAUCAGCUGGGAGAUGUCACUAACAGCUCCCGCGCUGACGCCGCCCCAUGGCUCCAACACCGCAGGCUGCCAGGUGUUCACACGCGACAUCCACAGCCACACCACGGUGCUGUGCUACUCCUACUACGCCGCGGAGACGCACGACGCCAACUGGCACACUGGGCUGCUGUGGGACCCGCCCGCCUUCAGCCGUUUCGAGCAGGCCGUGGCGUUCGGGCAGUGGUGAGCACUGGGUGGCUGUCAAGCACGUUUGUCUUUUUGCUCCGUGCGGCUUGUUCGCUUUUAGCACAUUCGUUAUGCCCGUUACCACACCCAACAACACGCGGUGCCCCAAACCGCAGGAACUACUACCUGGUCACCUACAGCGCGGCGGCGGGUCUGCUGCGGCUGUACAAGAACGGCUUCCUGCUGGCCGACCUCACGCAGCAGCAGCAGCUGGCGGGGCUGCGGCCGCCCGCCUGGCUGGACCUGGGCGCCAGCGCGGCGCGGCACUGGGAGGCGCGCUUCCCGGGCCGCAUCGCCAACGUGCAGCUGUGGGCCGAGGAGCUGCAGCCCAACCAGGCAGCCAUGGCCAUGUACGGCAACCUGCCCCAGGCGGCGGAGGGCGGCCCGUCGCAGCUGCUGGGCGCCGCGCCGUUCGGCCCCUGGCCCGACCUGCCGCUGCCGCGCUCCGGCUGGCGGCCGCAAUACGCGGCGGCGGCGGGCGGCACCGGCGGCAGCCAGCGCUGCUCCGCGGCGGUGGUGAUCCCUGUAACCGAGGCGGACGCGCAGCUGGGUGACCUGCAGACAGCGGCGGCGCAGCUGCAGCAUUAUGCGGGCAUCGGCUGCGAGGCACACGUCUACUACGUCGCCUACGAGCCGUCGGUGCAACACGACCCGCCGCCGCCGCCUCAGAAGCAACAGCAACAGCAGCAGGUGCCGCCGGCAGCGGCCACGCAUCAGGCGUGGCCGAACCUGCGUGAGCAGCUGCUGGCGAUUGGCAGAGGGCCGGGCAGUAGCGGCAGCGGGCCGCGCAUUGAGGUGGUGGAGGCGCCGGCCCAGCAGGGCGACACGGCAGGCGGCCUGGCUGCGGCCUGGAACGCGGGUGUGCGGGCGGCGCUGGAGCACAUUGCCUCGGCGCACCCCGACGUGCCGUACGUGAUGCUGGCGGGCGCGCAGCAGCUGCCCAUGGACGGCUGGCUGGCGGCGCUGGUGCAGCAGGCGGAGGCGGACCCGGCGCGAGUGGCGGGCGUGCACGGCAAGGUGAUCUACCCCGACGGCACCGUGCUGUCGGCGGGCAUCAGCUUCCAGGUGGCCUACCACCCCUACCUGGACCGCCAGGCGCCCGGGCCCGUGGAGACGCACCAGGGCUACCCCUUCAACUACGAGCCGAUCGGGCAGCCCUACGACACGCCCGCCGCCGGCUGCUCCGCGCUGCUGCUGCGCGCCGCGCUGCUGCGGGAGUUGGUGGUGGACGGCGCGCUGGGCGACGCGCGGCUGGGCGGCCCCGGCGACUGGCCCUGCCUGGACCUGUCGUUGCGGCUGCGCAAGCGCGGGCAACGGCUGGUGGUGGCUCCGGGCAGUGUGCUGGUGAGCCUGGCCUACAACCGCACGCUGGACGGCCAGGCGGACGGCCGCGCGCUGGGUGCGUUCCUGGACGCGUGGGGGCCGCAACUGGAGGCGGAGGGCGCGGCGGCGCUGGAGCUCAACUCCACUGUGACGUGGGUGAUGCACUGCGGCGGCUCCAUGGGCAUUGAGGCCGCCAACCUGGUGCAGCACAUGGAGGGCCGGCUACGGCUGCGGGCGCAGGUGCAGCGCGGCUCGCCCUGGUGCGAGCACGCGGACGUGCUGCAGGGCACGCCGCGCGCCUUCGCCGACCGUGUGGGCCGGCUGCGGCAGCUGUCCGCCUACCUGCCCUCCGACAUCUACAUCCACCACAAGGACUACCGCCAGCUGGCCGCAUGGCCCUGGCCGCCCAGCAACUCGUCCUCCUACCUCAUCGGCCGCUACAUGUGGGAGGUGGACCGCGUGCACACGCAGUGGAGCCAGCAGAUGAUCCACGAGCUGGACGAGGUGUGGGUGCCCAGCCGCUGGCACGCCGACAGCUGCGUGGCGCAGGGUGUGCCCGCCUCCAAGGUGUUUGUGGUGCCCGAGUCGCUGGACGCCGCGCUCUACAACCCCGACAUCACCGACCCCGUGGCGCUGCCCGGCCGCCGCCGCGUGGCCUUCCUGGCGGUGUUCAAGCUGGAGGACCGCAAGGGGUGGCAGACGCUGCUCACCGGCUACCUCAAGGUGGGUAGGGGCAGGGGCGGGGGCGGGGGGACGCUGGGGCACGCGAGGGCGGUGAGGCGCAGGCGGGAUGCGGCUGGGGCCUGGGUUUUGGUGGGGGAGGGUGCGUGUGACGGCUUGUACUGCAGGUGGAUGGCACAGUUGACUGUUAGGCGGGCCAGUGGCACGUACACCUGUAUGUGGACCCCACCUUCCUGCAUCUUCCUGCUGCCGUCUCAUCCCUACCUACCGUGAACUACCGCAGGCGUUCCGCAACGUGAGUGACGUGUCGCUGUACAUCCACACCGUCACCUACCCCAGCCUGUCGUACCGCCGCGACUGGAUCCUGGACACCAUGAACAACUACCUGCGCGGCCUCAACGACACCUACCUCAACUCCACCAGCCUCUAUCCGACCCUGUCGCCCGGCCGCCCGCACAUCCACGUGUUCGGCCAGCACCUGUCGGGCGCGGAGAUGGUGCGCAUCUACUCCAGCAUCGACUGCUACGUGCUGCCCUCUCACGGCGAGGGCUGGGGGCUGCCCUACCUGGAGUCCAUGGCGCUGGGCAAGCCCGUGAUCGCCACCGGCUGGUCCGGCAUGACCGAGUUCCUCAACCCCAGGGUGGCCUACGUGCUCAACUACACGCUCAAGCCCGUGCACACGUCCGACCCCUGGUUCCAGGGCGCCAAGUGGGCCGAGCCCAGCGAGAGCGGCCUGGUGGCGGUGCUGCGCGAGGCGUACGCCAACCCGCACCGCGAGGCCAUGGGCGCGGCGGCGCGGGCCGAGGUGGUGGCCAAGUACGACAACAAGGCGGUGGGGCGCAGCAUCCUGCAGCGGCUGAAGGAGGUCUCCGCGCAGCUGGCUGCGGGCGGGCCGAGGCAGCCCCGGUCGCUGGACAUCAGCAAGGACCCGGUGCACAUCGACCUCCACAUGUGCGCCCUGGCACCGCGCCUGCCGCGCGCCGUGCCACCUCUCGGCCAGGCUGGCGCCAUCCGGAUGGCCGUGGCCACCACCUGGGCACCGCGGCCGUGCGGCAUCGCCACCUUCACGGACGCGCUGCUGCGGUCGCUGCGGCCGCUGCUGCCGGCCGGGUCGCAGGUGGACGUGUUCCCCAUCAUCCUGGACCUGCAGAUGCCCACCAACCUGACCGACCCCUACCCGCCCAACGCCAUCCGCCAGUACAACUACGGCGACUACGUGCGCGCCGCCGCCGCCAUCAACUCCGGCGGCUACAAUGUGGCCAUGCUGCAGUACGAGUUCGGCAUCUUCGGCGGCACUCACGGCUCCUACGCCACCUGCUUCAGCAAGCUGCUGCGCGUGCCGGUGGUGUCGGUCAUCCACACGCUGUCCGACAACCUGCCCGACGAGCACCACUACAACCUGCAGAACCUGGCGGGCGUGAGCGACUCGGUGGUGGUCAUGUCGCCCGCCUCGCGCAACAAGCUGGGCGCCUACCACGGCAUCCCCGGCGGCCACGUGGCGGUGCUGCCGCACGGCGUGCCGCGCGUGCCGCAGGUCAACACCGCCGCCGUCAAGGCCUCGCUCAACGUGACCGGCCGCACGGUGCUCAUCACCAACGGCCUGAUCCAUCCCGGCAAGGGCAUUGACCUGGUGCUGCAGGCGCUGCCCGAGGUGGUGGCGGCGGUGCCCAACGUGCUGUACCUGGUGGUGGGCGAGCCGCACCCCGGCUGCAAGCAGACGUGCCUGGACCACUACAAGCACCUGCAGGCCAUGGCGGCGGAGCGCAACCUGACCGGCAGCCACGUGCGCUUCGUGACGCAGUUCCUGGACGAGGACACCAUGAUGCGCUACAUCCAGGCCGCUGACGUGUAUGUGCUGCCCUACCGCGACCGCAUCACCACCAACAGUGGCACGCUGUCCAUGGCCAUGGCCGCUGGCAAGGUGGUGGUGUCCACGCCCUUCGAGCACGCCGCGGUGGCGCUCAUAGGCGGGCGCGGCGUGCUGUUUGACUUUGACAACUGGCGCGCGCUGCGGGACGCGCUGCUGGGCGUGCUUGGCGACUUCCCGCGCCAGGCGGCGCUGUCCAAGGCGGCACGCGAGUACGCCAGCGGGCUGGAGUGGAGCGACGUGGCGGCAGGCUACCUGCGGCUGCUGACCAAUGUCACGCAGAGCGCCAGCAUGGCAACAGCGUAAGAGAGCGAGAGACUAUAUAGGAGUCGGGACGCGAGCGGUGUAUGCGUGAGCGAGUGAGUGAGAGGGAGAGAGCGUGUGUGUGUGUGUGUGUGUGUGUGUGUGUGUGUGGUAAAGGACAUCACACGGAAGCCGUGUGUGUGUGCCUACCCGUUAACAGUUACUGAGGGUAAACCACCUUUCUUGUCCAUGCGGUUUGUGCCAGUGCCCAAGACACAGUUUUACGGCAUGGCCCUGGCUAAGGAGAUCAUGUAAAUGGUCUAGCGGCAGCUACUGGGGAAGGCUACUGCAGUAAGCAACAGGAGGAUACGGUGUACCGCGGCGCUUGUCGGGGCACGGCUUCCACGGCAUCCAAUGGCGUGCUUUGAAGCAAUGUAAUAAAUGUGGAAGGCGUACACGUGCGUGACUGACGCAACACAACUGCCAAUGGUUAACUAUGGAACAGUCUGGCACGACGUCUGCGGCGAAUGACCAUGCUCUCUAUUUAACUGCAUGAGUACACAUGGAGAUCGCCCAGGUUUGGGCCCGAUAUGCACGUCAGUUGUGCUCAACGUAGCCAUCGAACGAAAUAGCCAUGCCGGCGUGAUGUCGACAAGGCCUAACGUACGUGCCAUGGCGCCUGCUGCAGCCUGUGUUGCGAAGCACAAGGAAACAAGGGGUGUCAGCUUUGUACAGCUGGAAAAUGGGCUGAGCCCCCGUACGCUUGGGAGCUAUUAGGCGUGUAACGCCACGUCAGAGCCUCCAUGCCGCUACGACGCGCAGGCGCAUCGGCUAGGGACACUCGGGUUGGGGCCGUGCGGGAUUUCCCGCGCCACGCAUGCGUGCCUUGUCACGCUCCCAAACACCCCAAGCAUUUCUUUCGCCUCCUGCCAUACUCAACACCUCCCCGGCGCCCCACGCUCAAAGGGCUGGGCGCGGGGCGGGGGCGACCUCGGGGCUUCUCGGCAUUCUGGCGCGUCGGCAGGCAUGGCUCAGCAAGUCGCUCAGAACUUUCGAUAUACUUCCCCGCUUUGCUUGCCGCCAACAUAUUUUGCCUUAGAGACUGCAUAUCAGCGGGCACCGGAUGCUUUCCUCGCGACCUCGCGAAAGUCAAUUGUCCAUGGACCGCGAAGGCACUUCUCGCUCCGCCCGAAUUUUCCCUGCCACCUAUUUACAUGCAAUAGGCAUUAUCAAAUACUAAUACGUAGCAGUCGCGGUUUGCGCCAGUAUGCUAUGUUUUGCCGACGCACGCAGCCACGCAGCCACGGACAGGGGUGUUCCUGGGGGGCUUCGCCCCCCCCCUGGAACGCUUCGCUGGGGGGGCUCAGCCCAAAAAACCAAGUGCAAAGACAGUGUAACCGAUGCAGCGUGUGUGUGUGUGUGUAUGUGUGUGUGUGUGUGUGUGUGUGUGUGUGUGUGUGUGUGUGUGUGUGUGUGUGUGUGUGUGUGUGUGUGUGUGUGUGUGUGUGUGUGUGUGUGUGUGUGUGUGUGUGUGUGUGUGUGUGUGUGUGUGUGUGUGUUAAAGAGCACAAGGAAAACGUUGCGCAAAGACAGUGUAUGCGAUGCAGCAAAGCGACGGUUUACGGAUGUUACCUGAAGUUACCGUACCUCGCACACCUGCUGCGUUGAGCCGCCGGUCUUACCAACCGGAAAUCGCGCAACCCCCGCUACUCUAACCUCGAGGGGGGAUUAGUGUCCACACGCCCUCAAGGGUGCAAACCCAUGCAUGUGCUCACGGUACCGUGAGGCCCAGGCACUCCUACGAUUCCUAGCUCCGCGCCGCUACUCCUGGCCGCUAAGUCCAAGCUCCCACCCAAUCCUCGAUGAAAUUCUCACCUACGAGCGAAUAAGAAAAUAACAGGGUACAGGGCGGCGGCAGGGGAGUGUCACGAACAAGAGCGAAGGAACAUGUUAGCGCGGCGGCGCGCGACGAGCAAGAGCAAACACGCAGCCCAGUCCCAGCCCAAUUAACUAUAGUAGGGGUUGCGCGAUUUGGGAAAGAGACGGAGGUUGGGCGACCACGAGCAAGUAAACAGGCGGGGGACGGCAUGGGCGCAUGCAUGACGGCAAAUGCAAACGGGGUGUCAGCACCACGGGCUGGCGGGGGAAAAACCCCGCUCCCCGCUCCAUGGUGCGACGGAGGUGGCACACGCUAGGUACUCCCCUGAUGCGGCCAUGUAGCACCAGGUCCAAGUACACGCACAGCUUAUGGGGACGUCGAUCUCGCGGGGCGGCGGCAUGGGGAGGGUGGGCCCAAAGUUAGUACAGUACAGGUUAUGGCGCAAAUCAGAGGAACGAGACAAGCAGGAGGAACACGGCGCGCCCGAGGCGCCACAAGGCCCCCAGCCCGGUCCCCGACCCCGCGGAACGGGCUCCAGGCCUAGUGCCCAAAACUCGACAAGAUAGCAAUUGUGUGUAUGUGUAUGUUGGAAAGAAAACAAGUUAAACAACAAACGAAGCCCGCCCAGACGGCGCGCCGGAGUUACUUACGGAUACCUACCAAGUUUUAGCGUCGUGUAGCGCGUCGACCCGCAAAAAGCCUGGACCCCCCCCCCUCAUGCGAUCGACGAACGGCCUGACCCCGAGACCCGAGUGGCCCCCAUAUGCAUCGUAUGCGCCGCGCCCUGGGCGCGCUACAACGUGGACCCAGCACGCCUAAUGCCCUGAUUCCCGCCCGCUCGUCGUAGUCGAGCUCACCUACGGGUGAUGGAGGAAUUGCAGGCACUGUGUGUGUGUGUGUGUGUGUGUGUGUGUGUGUGUGUGUGUGUGUGUGUGUGUGUGUGUGUGUGUGUGUGUGUGUGUGUGUGUGCGUGUGUGUGUGUGUGUGUGUGUGUGCACUGUAACGACGGGAAACUCGCGUCUCGGCGCGUCUCAGCGCGUCCGAGCGCGUCAGGAUGCGUCAGGGGGCGUCUGGCCGCGUAUCGUGACGCGAGUGCUGAGACGCGAACAGUGACGCGAACUACUUUGAAGGGGACCCAUACCGUGGUGCGCACGGUGUUUUACACUAGCCUAUACUGCUAUUGCGACAAAUGUAGCCUUGCCCGGCAGUAUGUGGGCUAUCAUGGGCAGAUUGGCCCCUGCACCUGCGCCUGCUGCCGCAAGCCCCUGCACCCCUGGCCCUGCACCCGGGCGGGCUGGCCAGCCCCGCCUCUGCCCCGUCGCCCCAACCAACCUUUAGGCGCAGUUCAGCCAGCCUGCGCCAGCCAGCCGAUAUGUGCCGAUACUGCUUACAACAAGCCUAUUAGCCUAGAUACAGUAAGCAAAGGCAUUGGCACAGGCGAGCAUCGGUGACACCGGUGCAAUCGGUCGCCCACCACCAAGUAUUUGCCCCUUGCCUCGUUUGACCGCUAUUCUCUUGAAAACAUAAACAUGACUGACGAACUCAUGAAUCACUCAUGAUACGUCUGCCAACGGGCCUUGUUCCGUUGGUGGCGGCCUGGGGCCUUCAGAGCGCGCUUCACAGCGGGCUUGUAUGGCUCCAGGCCGACCAACCCACCUCAGCGCUUACUGCGCACGUAGUGCUGUCAAUGUUAACAUUAGUGUUAGUGCUGGCGGCUCUGGCAACGGUUCACCUGAGCUUUGCUCCUCGCGCUAUCAGCCAAAGUUCACAAACGGAAGAGCUACAAAUCUUCAUUAGGCUUCCUUCAGGGCAACUCGUCACGUUCGUGGGACCUGUCGAUGCCACUGUGGGCUCUGUCUUCGACUUUAUCGCUUCCACGACCCUCUUCCAUCUAGAUAACAGCCGGAUAUGGCGCUUGGUCGCGCGCGGCGGCGACACGCUGCUGGAGCGUUCGACCGUGCUGGCACGUCGUGGCCUGGCGUCCGGUUCCGAGCUGCAAGUGCUCGCACGGCUAAUGGGUGGCACUCCAAAGAGAAGGCCAUCAGCACCCUCAGGUAUAGUUGUUGGGAGUCAAGAGGCUUGGCACGGCAAAGGACUUACAACCACACCGUGUGCACGCAGACAACUGGCUCAGCCUCCACCGCUUCACCCGCUUCCGAAACCACUUCGGAGACCCCGUCUACACGUGCACCAACCCUGGAUGCCGUUCGCCAACACAGUUCAAGGAUAGAGCGGCUUGCUCUCGCCACGAAAAAUGCUGUGAGGGUGCACCUCGGGACCUCCCUCUCCCUGCCGGUACCGGUGGCGAAGGCGGCCUAGGAGACGCUGACUUUCCUGAGGGAGGGUGGGAUUCGCCUGCGGGUUCUGUUAGUGAGAGCGACAGCAUGGACACUAACGGUAGCGGCACCGGCAGCGGUAGCGGCACCGGCAGAGGUAGCGGCACCGGCAGCGGUAGCGGCACCGGCAGCGGUAGCGGCACCGGCAGCGGUAGUGGCACCGGCAGCGGUAGCGGCACCGACGGCGGCGGCGGCGGGAAUGUUGGCAAUGGCAGUGACAGGAGUGUUGGUGGCUACAGUAAUAGCGGCAGCGCCCGGGUGGACAGCGACUACCUAUACUCCGAUGAGGAAGAGGAAGAUGCUGCUGACGCUGAACCGGGUAAGUAUCGCGCAGGUUGCGGUCCUCCUUUGCGCGCCGCAAGCCUGGGUCUGGGUGCUGGGUCAUGCCUCUGUCCUGGGGUUCUCGCUUCCGGACAUGGCUUAUGUUCAGAUCGUUGAGGAGCGACAUCUAACUUUGCAUUACCCUGAUGUCCCGCCCAACCCUGCCCCCCCACCCCCAAUCCACAGGUCAUUUCCUGGCGGCAGCUCUACACCGCGUUGUGGCUUCUCUCGACCAGGACGACCCUGCCAACAUCAACACCAUUGAGCUGCUGAAUGCUAUUCUGCAGCAAUUCGGGCACCUGGCGCCUGUUGACGGCGACGGUGAUGCUGAUGACCAAGCCGGUGCGGUUGCCAACGACCUUGCGGCGCAGGGUAUGGUCAUGCAACCCACCAACAUCUCCGAACUACAGCAUGGUGCGCGGUCUGUGCAGCACUUCAAGGGCAUCAUGUCAGAGCCGCUGUGGAGAACAGGCACUCAAUGUAAGUCGGGAUGUGGGUCGGGUCGGGUCGGGCGGGGUUGGGACAGCGGGAUUUCGACAGGCUUUGACAAGGGAGCUCUGGGGUAUGGCGUGGUGGGCGCAGCAGCAGGCGCGGGCAACACUGGAAUGGAAUGGGUAUUCGAACUGCCACUGCAACGCCACGGAAUUCUGUGUAUGUAACGGCGCACUUGAUUGACGCGAUGCACCUCCCUUGCCGUGGCUUUCACCCUCUCCGCUGGCACACUACUGCAAUUCCGGUACGACACCUAUCUGCGCAGCUGCACCUAUCACUGUGGGGCAGUUUGCUUACGCUUGGAUGAAGGAGAAGAUUGAUGGGCGCGUACGGGAUAAUGUUGCGGACCGUCAGCUGCGUUUCCUUCGUGACGUGUGCUUUCCACCUGGCAAUAACUUGCCCCCGUCGCUGUACAUAAUGAAGAAGAUGUUGGACAUUCCAGACGCACGUGACUUUGAGAAGCACGUUUGUUUGAGCGACAAGUGCUUGUUCCCUGAUUUCCCUCGAGAUGAGUGGCACCAGCACCUGCAAGAUGAGUGCGGCUGCGGCCAUCGACGGUUUAAGCCUGCCCGGCCAGGACACCAACCAGUUCCGAACAAGGUACGUUGCAUGCUUUACUUGUUGCCCAUGCGGAGCCUCCCCAUAGCAAUAAGUCUCCCCAGGUCUCCCAAUCCUGCAUGCCCUUGUUCCGUCAACCCUUCUUGACUUCAGUGCCCUUUGCCAUGACCGCGUGCACGUGCUGUCUUCCCACAGAGGUUCUACGACUUCGGUGUCGAGAAUGUCGUGCGCGGCAUGUUCAUGGACCCACGGUUCUGCACGUUUCGCGGCACAGGGCGCGACAACAACCCUGACGACUUCUACGGCUCGCGGUACGCGCAAGACAUCAAUGCCAAGACUUCCGGCGAGUUCUUCGAGCCCGACAGCUCGGCUUACGACCUGGGCUUUGACUUCGGCGAGGUCUUCUCAUUCAAGAAGUACAGCUGCGGGAUGCUGUUCAUUCGGUGCGUGUGACGGACCUCAGCCUGUUGUAUAGUAUGGGCAAUUGCUUUCCUGUGCACCUACAGUGUCUCCGUGUGCAUUUGAUGUAAUGGGCAUCGUUAGGUAUGUGCCUAUGCUGUAAUCAUCACCCACCAGACCUUAUUGCUCCCCUCUUUAACUGCUGUCUUCAGGUGCGCGGACCUGCCAGUGACUCAACGCAGCAAGCGCCGCCACUGCUUCCCCCUGAUCAUCACGCCCGGACCUUCGGAGCCUGACUCAAUGGAAGUCUACUUGCGCCCAACACUGACAGCAUUCAAGGCCUUCGGGCCUGGCACCGAGGGUAUGACCGUGGUGGACGCUGCUUCGGGCCGGACCUUUGGGCACAAGAUGUUUCUGGGCGGUAUCUUUGCUGGUGAGUGGGCUUUUAGUCCGUGCUGGGGCGGGAGCGUUUGGGGACGGUAGUGGUGGGGCGGGGGCAGGAGUGCUCAGGCGUGGGCGGGAAUGCUAGGGUGGUGUGGGAGAGCUGGGGCAGGGGUGGGAGUGCAGGGGCGGGGCGCGGGGCAGGUGUGCUGGGGUGGGGUGGGAGUGCUGGGGUGAGGGCAGGAGUGCUGUGGCUUAGGUGGGCAUGAUGGGGCGGGGUUGGGCUGGUGGUGGUGGUUCUGGGGUGGGGGUAGGAGGACUGGGGGCGGGAGUGCUUGGGUCCGUAUGUUGACCUCUGCUUGGUCUGCACGCAGAUACGCCUGCAAACCGGACGUUGAGUCUUUGGCUCUCCCAUGCGGCCAAGAACGCAUGUGGGCACUGCAUGCUGCUGGGAGAGACUGGCCCUAACGGCCAUGGUACAUACUUUCUGGGGUACAACAAGCCGGCGGACAUCAACACAGCGCUGAACGUCCUGUUGCCACCUGACUGUCAGAUGCCAGAGACUGCACUAUGCGGUGACAGCAGGAUCCGGAUCUCUCAUGCGCACCACAUGGAUCGGGCACAGGUUGUGGAAAGUAAUCAUGACUUGGCAUCGGCGCUGGGUUGCCAUGGCAUUUCCUGCAUAGCGAAGGAGCUGUCGUACAUAGACAUGAAUAACGUGUGGGUUGUGCCCAUAGCGCAUGCAGCUCUGUUCGGUGUCAUCAAGAAGUUCUGGCACUUUGUGCUGGGCGAGUCCGUCAAGAAGGCUGAGAGUGACUUUGUGUUAAGUGUAGAGGCUCGUCGCAGAAUGACUGCACGUGCAUCCCAUUUCAUCAUUACUAAUGACUUUAACCGACCCUACCGUGACAUUGUCCCCUGCUCGUACUGGACCAUGGAAGAAUGGCUGAUGUGUGUGUGCGUGUGUGUGUGUGUGUGUGUGUGUGCGUAUGUGUGUGCGCGUGCGUGCGUGCGUGCGCGCGUGCUUACAGGGUGGUGCACACGAUCGUGGCGUGCCUUCCUGUCUCGUGUAAACCGGAGGCGCGGGCCGGGGUAACCCUUAUAACGCGAGCAAAUGAUAACGUCCGUCUUAUUGUUCUCCCUUGUCAGGGGCACGUUCCUAGUCCUACGCUCCCAUAUAUACUAAACGGCGGCUGACCUGGCAAGCCCAGAUCUGUGCAAUCUGUCGACGCGCCUUGCCCGAGUCCCGUAGGGAUAUGGGGCAUCGGGAAGGUGUUAACUGUGCUGGAGGUGUGUGGAAAGGGAAUGGCGUCGAUGGCGUGUGGAAUGUACACACCCGUCUGGCUUAGGUAGCCCCCAAGGUCCGGGCCUCGCUUCCGGGUAGACGGGUAGACGUGGGUCCAUCGUCCGUCUACCGAUUUGCAUUCAGUCCUCCCCGGGGCUCAGCGCAUUUCCCAGCUGUACAAAGCGGACACCCGUUGUCGCGCUUUCGCUUUAUGCCAUUGCCCCCCAGCCAUCCUGUUCCUGCUCUGACUCGCCAUCCCUCCCCAUUGGGAAACGAUGAGGGAUUUACCUCGCAUGGCCCUCGCCACCACUGCAAUUCACCUAGUUGCAAAAGUGGUGUUAGGAAUAGAGCAACCAUAGUUGGCCGUGCGGAGCUCAUCACCAGCAUUCCUACACAGCGCCACCCGCAUGGAGCCUGGCGCGAACUGUCGCCUCCCACCCAUCUGCACAUCCUGUCCCCCAUGUACCACCGAACGCGCACAGCCCCCCCCCCCCCCCCAUUGACGUUCUCGGGUUCCUGUUGGGGCGGUCUGGGUCAGCUGGGUUUGGCCAGAGUUGUGCCGUUCGUGUCUGAGCCCCAUGGUUUUUGCCAUUGCCCCCCAGCCAUCAACAUCACCAUUGUCUAGCAACUCCUGUAUUUGAGGGCAUUAAAUUACAGAAUGGGAUGAAGCGCCCAGCCCUUAGUUUCCUUAAACCAAAGCUGAACCUGCGGCGGGUGCUUUUGGCCCUUGCGCUCAUUCCUUUUGUGUCCUUGUAUAUUAUUAGUAAGCGACAAACAUGGAUCGAGGACAUGGGCGGUGUGCACGUCCCGCGCUGCGUGGGCUGGCGCGCGACGUCCUACUGUCAGCUGCUAGGGUCAGUUGCACCACAGUAUUGAAGUUAUGUGCACUGUACUGAGAAAUGCUUCGGGCGCAGGGCGCGACAGCCAGCGAAGGAUAGGUCAUGCGAUGCUCUCAUACGCGGGGAAGCAGGCUAUUGCCUGUGCGAGGGCGGCAUCACCGUUGCAAGGUAGGCCAGGGUACGUUUCAUAGCGGGGUGGAGCGAGGGCGCUGAUCGGGGUGGGCGGGCAGUCACGCUGACCGGCUCCCUGCUCGCCCGCCCCUGGCAACAGAGUGGGCUGUGGACCUCACAGAUUCCGGUGUCGUGAGAAAUGCGCCGAGCUUGCCACCGACAGCUCGGCAGCGGUAAAGCUUCCCCAGCCGCUGACCUGCGCGGCAGACACCAACGUGUCAGUAUCUGCCUCUACCUUCGCAGCUGCCCUGCCAACGGUGCAAACCCCCAGCAGUAACUAUAGCACAGCUGAUGUCUGGAACGUCGUCGACACGCUGCUGAUGAAACACGGUGCGUACACGUCUUCUUGCAUAGGGGUGAAGUGCAAUGGCAACUUGCAGCGCCCAUCCUUGCAGAUCCGCAACGCCCCAUCCGGUCUGCCAUGCACUGCACCACCCGGUUUGGCCGCAGGCCUGGGCGAGGUGGCGCUGCCGGGCAGCCGCACCCACAGAACGGACUGGGUGAUGGAGGGGCUGCGGCUUGGGCGAGCCACGGUGGAUCAGCUGGCGGCGGUGGUGGCGGGCGUGCUGGCGGACGUGCCGCCCUACCCGCCGGCCGCCUUCUCGGGGCGGGGCGUGGUUAUGGUGGGCGGCGGCCUGCACUACCUCAUACCCGCCUGGGCCAGCCUCAGCGUGCUGCGCAAGUCAGGUGAGGGGCUGCCAAUGGGCCACCUGUCAUGGCUGCAUUAGUGUAAACACUGCACGUGUGCUGGUGUGUUCUUUCUGCCUCCCUCGCGCAGGCUGCCAUCUGCCGGUGGAGGUGUGGUUCCCGGUGGCGGAGCAGCCCAGCCGGCCCGCGGUGGCGGCGCUGGAGGGGCUGGGCGGCGUGGCGGUGCGCACACUGGAUGUGGUGGACCUGCAGCAGCGGGGCUUCGCACUCAAGUCCGCGGCGCUGCUGCUCAGCAGCUUCCAGGAGGUGCGGCCGGGGGCAGUGGCAGUGGCAAGUUUCGGUAUGCAUCCCCAAACGGCCUCACGCCCCUGCGCCUGCCUGCCUGCCUCCCCUCCACUCCCCUGCUACCAAGGUGCUGUUCCUGGACUCGGACAACCUGGCGGUGCGCGACCCCAGCCCCCUGUUCGCCUCGCCGCAGUACGCCGCCACCGGGGCGCUGUUCUGGCGGGACUUCUGGGACCGCUCCUCCGUGCCCGAGGUGCGCGCGUGUGGGCUGGGCAGGCGGGCGUGUGUACGGGCGUGUGUGCGCGGCCGUGGGGGUGCGUCAGGGCGUGUGGCUGGCCAGCCGCCUUCCACCAACCUGCUGCGGCCUCUUGUUGCUGUGGUGGCAGAUUCACGAGGUCCUGCGCUUCCCGAAUGAACAAGUGCCCAAGGUGACCUUUGAGAGUGGCCAAAUGGUCAUUGACAAGGCCAGGUGGGAGGUGGUGCUGAAGGGGGGCGCUUGUUCGUAUCAGUAUCGUAUCUUGCCUUUACCGGGGCCCACCAACUAGGGGCCAGCAUGAGACUUGCCUAUGAUAAAGACUGCAGGAGAUGCCGGCCCCGCUUUUGACUGGGAUAUAUGCCCCCAUCACCACCACCACCACCUCCCUGCCGCUGCCUCAGACACUGGCGCGGGUUGUUACUGGCGGUGUACAUGAACGUGUACGGCAAGACCUUUGCAGAGCUGCUCAGCUGCUACCUGGGCAAGGUGCGGGCAGGCGGGCUUGCGGGGUCGCGUUGCUGCUGGGUCCAUGGUAAUCCGCUUCACGUCCACAUCAUGUCAACCGCAGGGCGACAAGGAGACGUUUGUUUACGCCAUGUUGGCGGCGGGGGAGGCGUACUGGGUGUCGCCGCAGCCUCCGGGCAGUGCUGGUGUGGUGCAGGUGCUGUGCGAGCCGGGCCGCGCCGCCAGCUGCAGGCGCCAGUUUAUGGGCAACACCAUGGUGCAGCCGGGGCCGGACGGUGAGGCGUGUAUGUGCGUGUGUGUGCGUGUGUGUGUGUGUGCGUGUGUGUGUGUGUGUGUGUGUGUGUGUUUAUUCCAAUGCCAAAGAAAGCAACACCCAGGACAAGCCCAAAGAGCGCGGAGGAGGUGUAGCCUUGACCUGUAUCUUGGACGCCCUUGAGCCUUGCCCUUCUUGUCGGCGUUGGCCGUAGACCGUAGACAGUCAACUCACUUACGAUCAACACCCAGCUCACGGCGCGCUUGCAACCCAACCCGGAAAGCUACUAGCGCAACACACAUUGUAUACCGGUACCCAUCGAUAUGGCGCGAGCUGCGGUAGGAACUUCGUCACAGCCUUGACGUUCAGGGCCACCAGCUGCUCGUCAAUAGUCAUCAGCGACGACAUGGUGUCUAGAGUGGUGUCUAGAGUGGUGCAUUGGUGUCUAGAGUGAUGGAGACAAAGCUUACAGCUAGGACAAUGCAUGGGACCCAUGGGACCCAUCGCGCUGCUGGUUUGCUUCAUGCAACCACCAUGCUCAACCGCCAUGCUGUGAAGAGGCACCAAGGCACGGUGAGGUAGGGUAACGCGCGGCUGACAUCAGAGCGAUACGACCAGGGCUGCACUUGGGGAGGAGGAGGCUGUUCAUUCCACUCCCAAAAAGACAUAUUGCCAACCCAGAACAGGCAAGCCCAACGAGCGCGGAGGAGGGGGGGGUCGGACGCGAACAGCUCUUACACAUGCCGGGGGAACUGGCAUUAGGUGCAGCUUGCCACCUGACCCGUGUCCCGCAAAAAAGCGCACACUUGGCACGUGCACCCCGCACCACAGGCCUGCCGCUCUUUUUCCACGCCAACUAUGAGAAGUGGGACUUGGCGCUGCCCGCGGCCUUCGAGGCAUACCAGCGCCGCUGGCAGGUGCUGGCGCCGGGCGGCCAGGACGUGGUGGGCGGCGUGUUCCUCAACACCAGCUACGGCAUAGGGUGGGUGCCGGAGCUGAGUGGUGCUAUCGCCUGGCCGGGCGCCCGGAGCGUUUGGACUGCGCGUCGGCACACCCUAUGAGCCAGCCAGCGCGAUCAUUGGUGAAGUCACCGCGAACCCAUUAUGCGACUCUUGCCCUUGCCCGCCUUGUGCGAUUUGUGGGCCGGGAUUCUAGCCAUCACACUCGGGACUAUGCUUCUCACCACCCUCCGCUUGUGCUUGUACUAGGUAUUCAACGGCAUAGGGUGGGUGCCGGAGCUGGGUGGCAGGGGGCAGCGCUGGGUGGCAGGGGGCCGAGCGUCGCGCGCGACAAGCAACUUGUCACCUUUCAUGCCUCAGUGCGCCUUGAUUCGAUUGAACCCGCCACAAAACUCGCACGCCUCGCGAUUGCAGCUACGACGUGGAGCGGCACGUGUUCCAGGUGCUGUCGGCUCUGCGCUGCGCCCCCUGGUUCACCGCCUACUACCAGCUGCGCCUGGCGCUGGACGACCCGCCGCUGCCGGCGCUGGACGGCUUCCACCCGCUGCCCAACUACAUCUCAUUCAGGCCCUUCUACAGGUGCGUGCAGGUCGGCGGUGGUGCCGCGGUGCUGAUAAGGUGUUGCACAGGGGCUGCUGGAUGCAGCUCUAGGCGAACUGCCCGAAGGCUGGGUGUUGUGGCGCAGCUACGCGUGCCCCACGAAUGGUGGUCUGCAGGCUGCUUGCUGUCCUGCUGCCAGCCUUGUUUGACAGGGCUGCGUCCCAACACCGAGCCUUUGCUGGCCCUCGCACAGGCUCGGCUGGUCCGGCGCCUACAUGGGGCUGUUCCGGCCCAGCCUGGGCGACCGGUUGGUGCACGCCUACUACCGCGUCCUGCGCUGGCGCCUCAAGCCGCUGGAGCGCCGGCUCAAGGGCAAGAAGUGACGCACGUGACGCGGGGCGGUUUGGGGUAUAACGAAGUACUGUUACAAAAUGGCUGCGGUUCUAAAGCAGAGGCGCAUUUGAGUUUUACCCACGGCCACCCAGCAUUAGGGCGGGGGCGGGCGUCACGGGCGGGCGUGUGCGUAAACUAAAUCAUGGGUGCAGCACGUGUGGAACCUAUGAAGAGUGAUGAAGUACACUUGAAGGUGAACAACGCUGAACAAUACACCGUCCUGAGUGGUUCGCCUGUCCUAGGCGCAAACUGAACACAUUGCUUCGGCGUGUGGGGACGGCGUUGGCGAGAGCUACGGAUGGCCCUAGUACUGUGGGGGCAUGUCGCACCCGUGGAGGGCACUGUAACCGAGUGCCUUUGCCGAUGUUUCGAGAAUUUGAACUCAAUGCAUUAAACAAACACAGCGUUACAGUUGCAAAGCAGGAGCCCAAACGAGUGACGCAUGCGAGUUCGGCCACCUUUGGAAGGCAACUUCGAUGCCCGUAGUCCCCAGCGUCCCCAACCAAGGCUUUCCGAAACGUCACCCAUUCAAGUGCUCUUUGUAGGUUCCACCUGCACCCAUACUUCAGUUUACGCACACGCCCGUCCUUCCCUACUGCUCAGCUCCUCCGCGCCCCCUCUACGCCAGCGCCAGCAGCGGCGCCUCCAUGUAGUUCUUGAAGGCCGCCAGCCACUCCGCCCCCAUGGCGCCGUCGAUGACGCGGUGGUCGCACGACAGCGUGGCCGCCAGCACCGGCACCUCGCGGAACACGCCGCCCGCGCCGCGCACCACCGUGGGCGUGGAGGCGCCCACAGCCAGAAUGGCGGCCUGGGAGCAGUACGGGCACGGGAUUACGACAUGGGGGUUCAGCAGUGCAGACGGGAUAAUUUAUACCCUAGUGGAGAAUUUAUACCCUAGUGGAGGCCAGGGCCCUGGGGUCGCGCCGGCUCCGGAACUGAUACCCCGCGCGAAUGCCCGUACAGCACUUACCAUGGAUAUAACCCCCCAUACGCACCUGCGGCGGGUUGACGAUGGCCGCGAACUGCUUGAUGCCGUACAUGCCCAGGUUGGACACCGUGAAAGUACCGCCCACGUAAUCCUCCGGGGCCAGCUUGCCGGCCUUGGCCUGUGCGGGGAGGGGAGGGAGGCAAGGGAGCGGCGGAGGGGAGGGUGAAGGGAGGAUAGGCGAAAACUGGGAGGGAGGGAGGAUACCGUAGGCGAAAACUGGCGAACUGGCGAUGCCGCAGCUUUUGCCCGCCCAGAAGCACUUUUAAAUCCGUCCGUAAACCUAGCUCCCCCCCCUUUGACAAUAGUGCUGUAAGCACGCCCCCGCGCGCACCUUGGCCGCCAGCGCGCGCACGUCCGCGGAGAUGGCGGUGAGGGACUUGAGGUCGGCGUCGCGCACGAUGGGCACCUGCAGGCCGCCGGGCGUCUGCACCGCCACGCUGAUGUCCACGUUGCGGUACUGGCGGAUGUAGUCGGGCUGCCAGCUGGAGUUCACGCCUGCGUAAAGGGGGUGAGCCGUUCGCGGAUAACGGAGUGAGGUGGCGUGGCGAUGUAGGAAAAUGUUUGCGAAGCACCCUCCGUGUGGGAUACCUCUGGCCUACCAGCCAAGUAAUAUGCGUGGCCCGCGUAACGCUCUGCACCCACCUGGCACGGCCUUGAGCGCCUGCGCGGCCGACUUGAUGAUAAAGUCGUUCACCGACAGCUUCACCGGGGCCGCCCCGUCCUUGGCGCCACCCUUGACGCCACCUGCCAGCUGCGCGUUCAUGCGCUCGCGCAGAGCCAGCAGCUCCUCCACCUGCGUGGAAGGUGGCGGUGGGGAAAGUGGAACGAGUGCGUUCAGCUUGUACAAGGGGCAUUUGUUGGCAUUGCAGACUCGGUACCGACAGGUUGCCAUCGGUACCGACAGGUUGCCAUUGUCCAGCGCGGGACCGUCACUAGCCCGCCAGCUGCUCUGCCCGCCCACACCCGCCCGCCGCGCACACCCACGUUGCAGUCCAUGGUGAGGUAGUAGUGCGGCACCGUCUGCUUGCUCUCCAGCAGCCGCCGCGCCACCACACGCCGGAUCUGGCUGUGCGGUAUGUCCGUGUACUCGCCCUCAGUGCCAGCAGCAGCAGCAGCACCAGCAGAUGGUGCGGCGGUAGCAGCGCCCGCCGAGGGGGCGGCGGCAGCGCCACGGGGCGCCGACUUGACGUCCGCCGCCACCACACGGCCGCCGGGGCCCGUGCCCGCCACCGACUGGGGUGGGUGUAGGUGAGGGGGCCAGUAAACACACGCCAGUCUACUGCGAGCCUGUGCCAAGACCCUUCAGCAAGCAACUCAUCCUGGCCCGCAAAAUCCUCCCACUUCCCACCGACCCACCCACUCCCCGCCCCACCUGCAGCUGCACACCCAGCUCCGCCGCCAGCUUGCGCGCGUAGGGGCUGGAGCGCAGCCGCCCGCCCGCGGAGGCGGUGGCGGCCGCCGAGGGAGCAGCUGCAAGGCAUGGCAAUUGAGAGAACAUUGUGGCGUGACACACACUCGAAUACAGUAGCUAGGUAUUGGCAGGCAUACCGCCCACAGGAGCCGCCCAUACCUGGUCGCGGUGCAGCGGCCGGCGCGGCCUUGGGGGCAGCGGGCACAUGCGCAGGCGUCGGGGCCGGUGCGGCCGGGGCCGCCGCCUGGGGGGCGCCCGGCGUAAAGUCCGCGAACGCCGGCACCGUUUCCUGCAGCAGCCACGAAUCAACACCACAAGAAAGGCGAAGCAGCUGCUUUACUUGCUGUUGCUACUCCAUCUUGAGUCCUGACGAGGCGCUCCAGACAAAACUCGGCCUCAGUAGAAGUCCAGAGCGCUAACCAAGGCAGCCCACCCUCGCGACGCACCUUCUCCUCCACCAGCACCAGCACUGGGGUGCCGACCUCGAUGUCCUUGCUGCCGUCGGACAGCAGGAUGCGCGCGAUGAAGCCUGCGUAUGGAGGGCAGAGGGAGUUAGGAGGGGGCACAAAGGAGUCACGCAAAGCGACCCCAUUGCAACCCGCAGUCCGAGUGGUAUCCCCCGGGAAUGCGCCCACACUCACGGAACAGCAGCCCGCCAUUCCGCACGCCCUCCGCCCCACCCCACCACCCCGCGCGCUCUCACCCUCCUCCUGGCUCUCCCAGCUGAUGGUGGCCUUGUCCGUCUCCACCUCGCAGUACACGUCGCCCGGGGCCACGGAGUCGCCCACCUGAGAGGGGGGAGCAGGUCGUGGGGCAGGCAGAGAGGGGUGGGCGUGGCAGCGUCGUGGCGGCGACGAGCAACAACCAACCAUAGCCUUCCAUUACCUAUAGCCCGCCCCCAAACAAACGCCCCCCCCCACACACACAGGCACUGCACCUUCUUCUUCCACUCCACGAUGUUGCCGCGGCUCAUGGUGGGCGACAGUGAGGGCAUGUUGAGGACCUGCGUACGGUAUGCAGGGUCGAGCUGAUGCGCACAAACACAACAACAGCCUGCAGGGGUCGGUAGCCCUCGGUGCUGUUGCCCCCUGUGCUCCAUGUGCACCCGUCCCGUCCCCCCCCCCCACCCCUGCUGUUGAAUGCUGACUUACAAAGUGUGUGGCUACCAGUAACUGCACACACCCUACUACUGGCGCCCUGUGACCCUCACAGCCCGCCCAUACGGGUGUCCUCAUCCUAGGCCAGUGCGCUGCUGUGCUGCUGCCAUUCUGGGACCACUGGCGCUACGGGCAUUUAGAAUGUGCUGAUGGACCGUUAUCGUCGCCCUGGGCCCUGUGCGGCGUUUGCCCACCUGGUGGGGCGGCAGGGUGGCGGCGGGCUUCGCGGGAGCCGCCGCAGCCGCAGCCGCCUUGGGCUCAGUCGCCUGCGCUGCCGGCGCACUACCACCGCUGCUGCUGCUGGCCCCUGGGGUGAAGGACGCCAGGCCCGCCACUCCGUCCGCCUCCUCCGACAGCACCGCCACCGGGGUGCCCACCGCGAUGUCGCGCGCCCCUUCCGGCACCAGGUGCUUGGCCAUGAAGCCCUCCUCCUGGGCCUCCCACUCAAUGGUGGCCUUAUCCGUCUCCACCUCCGCCAGGAUCUGACCCGGAGCCACCUGCUCGCCCGGCUGCUUGUGCCACUUGGUGAUGUUGCCCUGGUGGGAGCGGAGCGAGGAGCCAGGGACGGGUGCAGGGCAAGCGGAAGGGCUGUCAGCCUCCCCCGGUGCAAUAGUCAGCUGAUCCCAACUACCAACAAACACCAACCUGAGUCAUCGUGGGCGACAGCGACGGCAUGUUGAGCACGACGUGCGCCGGGUCUGCGGGCGGAAAUUGGUGCAAUCAAAGUCACGCUCCACGGAGUCCCAAGUGCAAACGGCGAAGAAUCGCUCUGCUUACAUGAUGCAAACUGUCGAGCAUGGGUAACGGCCGGCAGCCAAGAGAGACGCGAGUGGGAAGCCCUGCGUGAGAACAAUCGGUCAGUCUCUGUGCUUCACAAGUGGGCAAUAGGGGAAAGACAAUCACUCACCAGUACAUUUGAGCAUCUGCAAUGCUACAAGGCUGCGCUGCCCGGCUAGCGAGGCGCAGCGCCAGGCGCCGAGCUCCUCCCGACGACAUCGUUCAAGCAGAGUGAGCGAUUCGUCCCAAGGAAUGCCUUUAUUCCAUCUACACAGACAAACCUAUUCGUGCUAUGGCGGACAGGAGCGAGGGCUUGUCUGAGUUCGCGCUCAUGCAGCCACGGUUGACAGUGUUGAGGCAUGGGCCCCGCAAGAGGUAAAGAGACUCCGUCCCUCACCGCCCCAUGAUAUAUCUAUCCCACUUCAGGUGCAUCUAUGAAGGAAGUUCGGUUCCUUUGCUCUCUUGCGGCGCUCACGCUGGCCCACGCGUGCAGAUGCAAGCACGGCACGCUUGACGGCACGACCUGAAGGCAAGAAGGGGGCAAGACCAGGGGCACCCAGGCGCACCCUUGUAAGACGGACCAGGGCCCGAGGCCCACCUCCCAAGAGUCCCAACCCUAUAAAUGACUUACGUAUGAGCCAUCACCGUCGCAUGGCUGCUCUGGACGCCGCUCUGCAAACCCGUCUUCUUGCAGCUCUCCACGCCUGUCCACACCCUGCCCCAGGCACUACGCGGCCCCACACCCCUUUCUCGGUGGCCCUACUCAAGCUGUACUGUUUUUCUGUUUACAACUGAAGGCUCUGCCCUUGUCCCGCUCAUGUGGUAACAUCUUCUUGCACUCGCUAAGAAGGCAUAAUGGCUGGUGUUGCGUCAGCCACAACACCAGCCGCUACAGAGAAUUGAGCUCAAGUUGGUGAAUAGAUAAAUGCUAUAAUUGUCUUGGAGGGCUGCACUCCAAGACAAUCCGGUGCAAAGGAGGGCAUGUUUGCAGCUGAGGGGGUGUCAAGUCGUGCCAGUGUCGAAGGACCUGCGGCGGGUGACAAGCGGCUCACUAGCAAAGUUACAGAUUAUAUCUGUUCCAGUCUAAUGAUACCGCUCACACGCAAUUUUUAUCAUUCAGAUUAUAAACAUCUUUCCUUGACUCGAACAAAGGUGGACUCGCGUACUUGCGGUGAUGUUAGUAUUCCCCAUCAAUAUCUAUCCAUAACAGCAACAUCAGCUUGACCUUGGCUUCGGGGCGAGCAUGGCUGAGCCCGGCGAGGACUCGUUGCCCGUCGACGGCUUGGCUGAAGUAAACGAGCAGCCCGCGUCUAACCCGGAGCAACAAGCAAUUGUCGACGUGGCGGCACCUGCGGAGUCUGCUCCGGACAGCGAUGGAGAUGGGGUUGCCGAGACUUCUGAACCAGCGGACGCGGACGAGCCUGCGCAGUCAGGCAGUGGUGAAGAGGCAGCAAUUGCAGAUGAAACAGGGUCAAAGCCUCCGGCCGAGGCUGUGGCAACGGGCACGCCUGAGACCAUGCCUGAGGAGCAGCCUGCUGAGGAGCAGGAACCGGAACUUCGAACGGACGCGCCAGCGGCCGACGCUGAGGCAACGGACGCGCCUGAGGAACAGCCUCAGGAGGCUUCUGCAACAGAAGCAGCGCCUGGGGCCGAAGCCGUUGAGGACGUAGGCGCGGCGGCAGCGUCAAACCAAGACGAGAAGUGUACGCCAGAAGGGCCAUGCAGCGCCGUACCUGACGGCGAGCCGCGGCAGGCCGACGCGGAGGCGCCUGUGCCUACACCUGCUGCUGCUGCUGCUGCUGCUGCUGCUGCUUCUGCAGCUGCAGACCAGCAGCUCGCAGGAAAGCCGACCACUGAUGCCGCUGAUGGUCUUACUGCUGAGCCAACGGACAGGGUGCCAGUGCCUGACCCCCAAGCUGUGGGGGCGCAGGAUGGUCCUGCUGGAGAGCAGGCGGACGCUGAGGGCGCGGCUAGCGGGGGGCCUCUAGCCGCGUCAGCCGAAGAGGCCGCAAAUGCUGGUCAUGCUGCUGGUCCUGAGGACAGGGCCGCUCUGGAGGCUGCAGCUGUGGCGGAGCUUGAUGCUGCAAGCGCAGGCGCAGGCGAUGCUGCGGCAGCCGAUGGGGCGGCAUGCGCCCCCGCCACCCCUGACUCACAAGCGGAGGACCAGCCUCAGCCGCAUGCCGUAGCAGAGGCUGUCACCGCCCCAGCUGCUGCACCUCCCGCUGCUCCAGGCUCGCGGACUAGCUCGGCGCGCUCAGCUCCUGUGGCCGCAACGGUUGCUGCGGCCGAGCCCGCUCCCCGACCGCCGUCUGCCACGCCACCAGCUGAGCCACGGCCGCAAUCGGGCUCGUCUCGCACCCUGCCUCCACCUGCCCCGCCGCCGUCACUGCCUCCCGCCUCCGCUGCCAGCAGCGGUGUGGCCCAGCUGCUGUCGGUGCACGGCCUGGACACGCACCGGCGCAACAACCUGGUGCUGCUGGACGAGGACACCGCCGCCAGCUGCAUCGCGGGGCAGCUGGUGCUGCUCAGCCUCAGCACCGGGGCGCGCAGGUACCUGCCAGGCCGCGAUGGCGGCGGCGUAGGCGCGGUGGCGGUGCACCCCAGCCGCACGCUGCUGGCGGUGGGCGAGAAGGCGCGGCCGGGGCCCGCCUCUGCCGGCCCCGCCGUCUACAUCUACUCCUACCCGGGGCUCGAGGUGGUCAAGGUGCUGCGCGGCGGCACGGAGCGGGCGUACUCGGCGCUGGCAUUUGACGGCGAGCGCGGCGACACGCUGGCGAGUGUGGGCCACUUCCCCGACUUCCUGCUGACGCUGUGGGACUGGCGGCAGGAGGCCAUUGUGCUGCGCGCCAAGGCGUUCAGCCAGGACGUGUACGGCGUGGCGUUCAGCCCCUACUUCGAGGGCCAGCUCACCACCUCAGGUGAGGCUCAGGCAAUGGGAGUCUUGGGGCCUCACAGUUGCAGGCAGGGACCUUCUCAUUUGUACUAGGGCUAACUAAAAAAGGACUGGUGGUGCCGUGUGCAGCAGGGCGCGCUGCUGGCCAAUGCUGAGCAUUGCUUUCGCUCCUACCUCCCCCGCGCAGGCCAGGGCCACAUCCGCUUUUGGCGCAUGGCCUCCACCUUCACCGGCCUCAAGCUGCAGGGCGCCAUCGGCAAGUUCGGCAAUGUGGAGCUGAGCGACGUGGCGGCGUUCGUGGAGCUGCCCGACGGCAAGGUGCUCAGCAGCACCGAGACCGGAGAGCUGCUGCUGUGGGAUGGGGGGCUGAUCAAGGUGCGCUGGCGGGGAGCAGGGUUGGAGUGUGGGCGGUGGAGCUCAGUAAUAAAGCGGGUUGCACUGCGGCGGGCGUGGCAUGGCGUGGCGGGUGGACACUCCACACAUCCUAGCUGACCUGGCCAUCUCCAACUUCACUCCGCCCCCAGGUGGUGCUGACGCGCCCCGGCAGCCGGCCCUGCCACGACGGCCCCAUCGAAGCGCUGCUGCUGGACCGGCCCGCCGGCCGCGUGCUGAGCGCGGGCGCGGACGGUCGCGUGCGGAUGUGGGACUUUGGCGCCGUGAAUGACGCGGAGCCGCGCGAGGACAGCCACAGCCUGGAGCUGAGCCCGCUGGACGAGGUGGUGGUGGCGGAGGGCGCGGCGCUGAGUGCGCUGCUGGCGGACUCGGGCGGGCGGCGCUGGGUGGUGGCGGACAAGGCCGGCAACGUGUACACAGUGGCGCUGCCACCCGCCGGCCCAGUGGGUGAGUCGGGCAGGGCUACGGCAUCGCAGGCUACAUAUAGCGGGCCGGGCGCAUCUCCUGGAUGGCCGGGCACACAUGUGCUGGCCAGAUUGUGCUGACCUCCUUGCGUUGCUGGCUCAGGAAAAGGCGCAGUGGUCACGCGCGUGGCCUCGCACCCCGCUGGCGCGGUGGCGGGCCUGCAGCUGUCCGCCCGCACCCACACCGCACUGGUGGCCUCCGCGGACGGCUGCCUGCGCGCGCUGGACUACGUGAGCGGCGCCGUGCUGGCGGAGGCGGCCACGCCUCAGCGCAUCACCGCCUUCACGCCGCUGCCGGCCGCCUCGCCCGCCUGCCCCGGCGGCGCCAUGACGGCCGCCACCGGCUACCGGGACGGAGUGGUGCGGCUGCACGCGCGCUGCGCCGAGGGCCUGGCGCUGGUGGGUGUGGCCAAGGCGCACAAGGGCGCGGUGGCGGCGCUGGCGGUGUCGGCUGACGGCGGGCGGCUGGUGAGCGCGGGCGAGGACGGCUCCGUGUUCUUCUUCGACCUCACGGCGCAGCCGCAGCCCGGGACCGGCGUGCCGGGCAUGCCCGCCUGCGGCCUGCUGGCGCCGCGGGCGUUCAUCAAAUUACCCUCGGGCAGCGGCACGGUCACGUGCGGCGUGUGGGAGGCGGCGGAGGGCGGCGGCGUGCUGCUGGGCACCAACCGCGGCACCAUCCUGAGUGUGCCGCUGCCGCCGCCGGACCUCAACACGCACCACUCGUACGAGUGGGCUGCCGGCACCUCCGCCGUCAGCUCCUACCAGCUGGUGGUGCCCAAGCCCAAGCGGCCCAAGAAGAAGAAGGGCAAGAACGACGGCGAGGAGGGCGACAAGGAGGGCGGCGAGCAGGAUGAGGGCCAGGGCGGCGAGGACAAGGGCGGCGAGCAGGCGGACGGCGAGGGCGGCAGCAAGGAGGGCGGCGAGGAAGGCCGGGCCGCGGAGGAAGAAGAGGAGGAGGAGGCGGAUGAUGAGGCGGACGGCGGCGCGGGCGGACCGUCCUCCACCACCGGCGAGCUCAUCUCGCUGACCCUGGCGCCCAAUGAGCCGGGGGCGCUGCUCGUGACGGCGGGCGGCGUGGGCCAUGCCGCACGCAAGGCGUGGCGUGUGCGGAUGGGCGAGCCGCUGGCCGCCCCGCUGCUGGAGGGCUUCGCCUCCGCGCCCGUCACCUGCCUGGCUCAUGCGGGGCCCGAGGGCCGCCUGGCGCUGCUGGGCAGUGGCGACGGCCUGGUGCGGCUGCAGGCGUUGGAGGAGCCCUUUGGGUCGGCGGCGCCCGGUGCGCUGCCGCUGUGGGAGGCGCCGCUGCACGACAUGCAGUCGGGCCGGGUGAGCGGCCUGGGGCUGUCGCACGACGGCGCCUACCUCGUCACCGCCGCGGCGGACGGCGCACUGCAUCUGCUGGCGCUGGCGCUGCCGCCUGAGCUGGCGCCGCCACCCACCACACAGCCCGGCGACGAGCCGCUGCCGGGGCCGGCGGCACUGCCGCUGCGGCCGCCCGACGUGCUGGCGGCGGCCGCCUACACGCUGGAGGAGGAGAAGCAGCAGGCCGAGCGCGACCAGCAGGUGCGCGAGGCGGAGGAGAAGAAGCUGAGUGUGCGGCAGCGGCUGGGCCUCAUACGCGCCGAGUUCGAGGCGUUGCUGGCGGAGAACGAGGCGGCUCCGGAGGCGCUGCGGCUGCCGCGUGCCGACCUGGAGGUGGACCCGGGGCUGCGGGCGCUCAUGGAGGCGGAGGCGCUGCGGCGCGAGGAGGUGGCGCGGCUGGAGCUGGCGUGGGAGAGCGAGCGGCAGCGGCUGGGCCUGGCCAAGCUGCGGCGCUACUUCCUGGACGGCCUGGAGUCGGAGCGCGUGGUGCUUCACUCGCUGCGGGGCAGCAGCACCGUCACCACCUUCCGCGUCGCCAAGCUGUCCGACGAGACGCGCGCCGAGCUGGCGGCCAUGCGGCAGGCGGCGAGGGCGGCCGCAGCUGCCUCUGCCGCGGCAGGCGGCGAGGGCGGUGCCGGGGGCCGUGACACAGACGCUCGGGGUAAGGGCAGUGAUACGGGAGGCGGCCCCGGCGGCGACGCUGCCGCCCGGGCGCGGCUGGCCGAGGCGACUGCAGCUCUGGAGGAGGGCACUGCCAGCGGCAAGCUGAACAAGGCCGACCUGCGGCGCCUGGCCCGCAAGCGGCGUGAGGCGGAGUGGGCGGCCUUCAACGGCACCCGCCCCGACGACACGUACGACAGCCCCGCCGACCUGGCGGCCAUUGAGGAGGCGCGCCGCACCAUUGGCGACUUUAAACUCAAGUCCGACCCCAACUACGUCGUGCCCGAGGUGCGUAGGGGCGCAUACCGGUAGCGUGGAGGGGGGCCCUUUGGUCGUGCGCCCCCAACUGGUAGGUGUAUUAAGCCUGACCUGCGUGUAUGUCCGCAUGCCUACCACGGCACCCGCUCCGUGCUCGUCCCUAAGUAUGACUCCCCACCGCUGACUGGCCGCUCCGCUCGCGCAGGAGGAGCGGCUGACGCCGCAGCGCAAGCGGCUGGCCAUGCUGGAGCUGGAGGAGGCGCUGCACGACAUCGCCGCCGCCUUCAACGCCAAGUUCUUCGCACUGCGGGACGUGAAGCGCAAGGUGCUGGCGGACGUGCGUGUCAAGCUGGCGGCGCUGGCGGAGCUGGCGGCGGCGGCGGGCGCAGCAACGGGCGGCGCGGACCCGGACGCCACCGCCGCCGCCUACCUGGCGCCCUUCUCCGGCCUGCCCAGCGGCCUGCUGCCGGAGGAGGAGCCGGCGGAGGCGCGGGAGGCGGUCACGGACGCCGACCUGGCGGCCUUUGCGGCGCGCAAGGCGGAGGACGAGCGCAAGGCCGCAGCAGCGGCAGCAGGCGGGCUUGGCGGCUUUGCAGGGGCCGCCGCCGGGCCCAAGAAGCCCGCGGCCGGGGGCGCAGCACCGGCUGGUGGCGCUCUUGCUGGCGGCGCAGCGGGUAGUGGCUCUGUCGCGCACGGCGCUGGCGGCCCCUCUGCAGGCGGCCAGCAGGGUCUGACGGCUGCGGAGGAGGCGCUUGCGAAGAUGAUGGCGGCAGUGCCUCAGAGCGAGCUGGAGAAGGGUCUGGCGGCCUACAACCGGAGGCGGGUGGAGCAUAUGCGCUCCAAGCUGAGCGAGGAGAUCACGGCCAUGCUGGAUGCCUUUGACGACGCGCACUCGGCACUCAAGGCGGAGAAGCUGGGCCUGGAGGCGGACGUGAAGGCGGGCCAGAUGCGGCUGCUGGUGGGGCUGCAGGAGCUGCAGCUGCUGCGCGAAUUCGACAAGCGCGAGAGCGUGCUGCUGGCCAAGCGCCAGGCCAAGCUUGACGACAAGCAGGAGAUCGUGGACAAGAUCGCCGAGUGCACCGACAAGCUAGAGACCAAGCGCCUGGAGCUGGAGGGGCUGGUGGCGCGGCGCGCGGCUGUGGUGGCGGAGCUGGACGCGGUGGUGCCCGAGUCCGACCCCUUCCGCGAGGCGCUGGUGCGUGUGUUCCACCGCCGCAUCAAGCGCAGCAAGAAGAAGGCGGGCGGCGGCGGCGGCGAGGACGACUACGACAGCGAGGAGGACGAGGAGGACGAGGACAUGGGUGAGGGGGCUGGGCGCUUGCUGCCUGUGGUCAGGAUGGAACUAGGCGGGAAGUGAUUUGGCUUCAGGCCGACGCCGAGCCCGCAUCCUUCCAGGGCUAGGACUGCUUUACCAACCACCUGCCGCCCAUGCCUCUGCAGGCGACGACGAGGUAGACGAUGACGAUGACGGCGGUGAGGAGGUGUGCCCGCCCGGCUGCGACCAGUCGGUGUAUGAGCGCGUGUGUGACCUGCGCGAGAAGCGGCUGGACGAAGAGGACAUGAUCGCCGAGUUCACCAAGACCAUCGAGGUGCUGCGCAAGGAGAAGGAGGCGCUGGCCAAGAAGCAGCGGCUGGUGGAGCAGGGGCUGGCGGCCGUGAACGCCGACAUGGCGGAGUUCCAGAAGGAGAAGCAGGGCCGCCUCAACCAGGUGGAGGUCAUCGUGGCACUGAGAAUGCACCAGGUGAGCGGCGUGUGCAGGGGCUGGCGGGAAGGAACAGUGAGCUGCACAGUUAACUGCUGGAUGUGUGUAUGCGCGGCAGUAGGGGAUGCGGGGCGCGCUAUCCAGUCCUUGCCAUGUCUGGGGGGGGCGGCCGGGCGCGUGAGUACCGCCUCCUCGCCCAUGACCGCUCCCCGCUGCCCCUGCUCCCACAGAUCGAGUACCUGCUGGACGGCUGCCUGCCGGACGACCUGUCCGCCUGCCUGGUGUUCAGCGCCAGCCAGCUGCGGCGGCUGCAGGCGCGUGUGGACGAGCUGGAGGAGGAGAAGGCGGGCCUGCGCGCCGCGCACAAGGAGCUGCGGCGGCAGCACGCGGCGCUGCUGCGCGACAAGGCCGACAAGGAGGCGCGUGUGGCGGAGCUGGAGGCGCGCGCGCACGACGUGCAAAUGCUCAAGUUCGGGCAGGUGAUUGACCUUGAGUUGCUGGACCGCGUCAGCAGCAGCCGCGGCACCGAGGAGCUGCGGGAGGACCUCAAGAAGCAGGUGCGUCCCGAUUGGGUGAUGGGGUGGGGCAGAGGGUAUGGGCACGUGUCGGACAGGUGCGGGGCUACAGCUUGCGGUGGCAUUGCUGGCCACGAUGGGAGUGAGCAUGCACAUGGGCUGCCAACCCGGCUUAACAGAAUAGGUGUAGGGGUACCCUCAAGGUAGCAGCCAUACCGUCUCGCGCUUCCUGCCACGGUCCCUUGCGCUACCACACUACACCCACACACGAUCUGGCCACCCCGGCCCCGACCUUGCCCCGCCAGGAGCUGGCCUAUGCCCGCGAGCUGGCUGAGUGGGACGCCAAGAUCAACGCGCGCAUGGACGAGCUGGUGGUGCUGACGCGCGAGAACACCGCCUGCCUCAACGCCGUCAGCGAGCUCACCGCGGCGCAGCGGCGGCUGGAGAGCGGGCUGACCGCCACGCGCAAGGGCCUGUUUGCGGACCCGGUGCAGCAGCGGCGGGCGGAGGUGGAGGAGCGGGACGCGCUGGUGGCGCUGGUGAACGCGCAGGCGGCGGAGCUGGACCGGCUCAAGGGGCAGCUGCUGGCGCUGAGGCGCAAGGACACCAGCAUGUACGCCUAGUGGGGCGGCAGGUCGUAGUACGUCUGCUUGCCCGGGUCAGGACAGUAGCAGAAAGACGGUUUUGGGAAACGGACGUGUGCAAUGCACAUUAUUGCUAUACACUGCACGCUCCCACCAUUGCACAUACCGGUAUGUCACGAGGCCGCUGGAGCGGCGCCCACAGACAACCCUGUAACCCACAGCCAGUUUCGCCUCCUAUUGUGAGCUGAGCCCCCGGAGCGAAAUGAUACCCAGGGGGCGAAGCGCCCCAGCAUCGCCCCUGUACGUUUGUGCAUGCCUGCAUGCCCCUGUGGCUCGGUCGACAGCAAACGGCUAGGCGCGAGGAUGCCAAAGGUUUGCGCAGUAGCCAAACCCGCGUGUUGAGCGCGCCUCAAUGUGUCACAGUCCCGAGUCUCGCGUCCGAGCCCAGCAGGUGCUUGCAAGGGUUAGGUGCUCCUGGGUAACAGGAAUAAUGUGUGGAAAGGAGUUGGUGGCGUGACGUGGCCAGGGACCAAUGGUGCCGGUGACAGCAUGUAUGUGGCGGUGCCUCGGACACGGUGUUGGCGUGCUUCCCGGCCGGCCGGCCCCACCGCUCCACUCCGCCACGCCCGCUUACCCUGGACGUGAUAAAUGCGGUGUACCCGUAUGUGGCGUUCACUGGGUGGAGCUUGAUGCCAACGGCGCCAAGCGUUCACAUCCCUGAGUGGGGCUAUUCAAAGCUGACACCCAGUGUCCAUGACCGGGAUUGAUGCAGUGAUUACCAGCAUAUCAAUAACAAAUCUCAUGCCGUGGUGGCGAUAAGCACAUAAACGCUACUGCGUGUACAAGCUCAUGCGGAAGUAGGGCAGGCUCGUGCUGGCGCCUCGCCAGCUCUCCUCCCCAGCCGUCCGGCCUAGGUCCGUUGACGAAGGGAGCUAGAUGGGUUGAUCCCGUCUCAGCGCGAGCCCCAAUACACCGUUCUAAGUGGUCGUGUGUCCUAGGCGCAAACUCAAAACAUUGCUUCGGCGUGUGGGGACGCCGCGUUGGCGAGAGCCGCGGAUGGCCCUACUACCGUGGACACCCAUCGCACACCCAUGGAGGGAACUGUAUCCUGGCAUCUUGACACCCAGCCUCCUCACGCGGUUGCUAACUAGCCUUACGGAGCCUCCGAAGAAUAAGUCCAUUGGCAGUCAGGCAGUCGACGCUACCGAAUUUAUUUGAAGGGGUGUGCACCGCAUGUUGUUAUGGUGCAGAUGCAGGCACGAAUCCCCAGCUUUCCCUGUGUUCCUUUCAUGGCCACCACCCUCGACGCCAGCCACAACAGCAUAUGAGUGAUGCUCGGGCGACAUUUAUACGCUGCAACUAUGCUGCCUUACACCACCUAACAGCUACACCACUGGAUCGCUGUGAGCCCGAGCUCAGGCACCGCCAUCACCGCCUCUCCGCCGCGCCCGCCCUCGCGCCGCCGCCGCCAGCCACUCCGCCCGAAGCGCCUCGUACCGCUCCGCGCAGCACGCCUGCCACAGCGCCGGCCCCUCCCCGCACGUCUCUGUGGCGUUGCCGUCAUAGGCCCUGAACCAGUCCAGCGUGCGCCUGUUUUGACUGCCGCCCGGCCCCCGCCGCAUCUUGGCCAGGAACUCGGACAGCGAGCGCGUCACGUAGUGGUGCAGCGCCAGGCGGCUCCAAGACACCGGCAGCGACUCGGGGCCUUGCACCGGCAGCCCCAGCUCAUUCACCGCCACCCCGCCGCCUAUGUACACGAACUCGUGUGGGUUACCGCCUAUGGCCAGCACCGCCGACAUCCGGGCGAUGGUCUUGAUGUGCCGGUUGUCCCACGCCGCGGCCGGCGAGCAGGCCGUGUAGGCCUCCAGGGUGCCCGCGGUGGGCCGCUGCACGUGGCCACUGCUGCCGAAGUAGCGCAUGUUGACGCCCACGCCCGGGUACUGCUCGUAGUGGCGCAGCAGCGCGCUGAUGUUGGGGCGGGCCACGGCUGCCUGAGGGGGAGGCGGCGGCGGCGGCGGCGGGGAGGCGGCGCUGCUGUUGCGCGGCGGGCUGCUGUCGCGCACGAUCAGGUAUUCAUCCGCGUCAAUGAACGCCAUCCACAUGUGGUCCCGGUGUGCAAAGUCGAUGCAGCGCUGGAAGGCGGUGCCCUGGCUGUAGUCGGCGAACACGCCGCCGCGGCGAGGGGAGUGGUGGCGGGGGUCGGCGUCGUAGUGGUACUCCACCAGCCCGCUGCGGAUGAACGGCAACAGCAUGCGCAUGUUCGACAGCGGCCGGCUGCUGUUGUAAUCCAUCACGUAGAUUUUGCCGAAGCCAACCCAUUCGUGAUACAGGAUGAACUCCACCAGGUUAAGCCCCUCGUCCUUCACAUUGGUGCAUAUAGCUGCAUAUGCGCCUUUGCUGCGGUAUCCUGAUGCAGGUACGCUGUGAAGGAAAACGAGCAGGACAAAGACUAGCUGCAACAUCGCCACAUCUUUUGCAUGCGUGUGCUUGUAGGUGUGCUAACUGUCAAUGCUCAAUGUUAAAGCCUUUUUAAGUAUAUCGGUGUGUCAUAGGUUGCUGCCGUAGACCAGUGCAACCCCCCUCCCCCCGCAUAAACCCAAUAUCCCCAUCCCCGCAUCCUUGCCCAUUCCCAUUGUUUGCGACGUCAAUAUGUCCGCCUUAGCUACCACGCUCUCGAUAUCAUGUUCUGGGUUAAUCAAGGGCUUCCUGAGGCUCAUGCUACCACCCUGAUGCGGCCACUCGACUAGUUUUUGGGCUGAGCACCCUGAGGCGUUUAGCCCUCCACGCUUUUCACGACCCUAGGAUUGCCCCUGUCCCUGCGUGCCCAGCACACCAACGCCAGCCCUCACACUUUCCCGGCUCCGCAACUGCUGAGCGGGUCUGGCUUGUGCAGCGUGAAGCCGCGCGCCUGUGUCUCCGGCGGCAGCUCCAGCGCCCGGUCCAGCGGGUGCAGCAGCUCGCAGCGCACAAACAAGGCGUGCGUGAAGGCCUGCGCGGCGCAUGCGGGGUUCAGCCCAUAAUAGCAAGUUUCCAACCGCUAAGCAAAGUGUGCUCCAGGACAAACCAUUCAGGCCUCUACCCGCCCCGCCUCGCCCUAUGAACGGCACGGAUACAGAUGUUCACCUCUGACCGCCGUGCACCAGGUUGUAGCAGUAGCAGUAGCCGUGACCCGCCGCCAGCCCCACGAAGGCCGCCAGCGAGGCGCCGUAGUGGCGGCUGCAAAAAGGACAGCACCAUUUCCGGCCAGUAGAACAGGCGGAACAUAGGCGGAACGGUUUGUUAACGAAUGGAAGGUAAUGGUUCCAUGGUUGCCGCCCUUGAGUCUCGUGAGUACUUGGGACAUCGUGCGACAGCAAGGCGCACCAGGCUCACGCGGCCGCCACAACGCCAACCUCCUGCCCGGAGCGCACACAUGCUCUGGAGUUCACCGGAAGUAACGCACCAACCGGUGCGCAACGGCAACAGAGCGAGACCCCACAAACGGGACAAGAUAUGUGUUUCCUCUGGCAUGGGACAAGCGGGCUGCGCCCACGCCACGUCUCUAGCCUGAGGCCGCAAGCGUCUACCUCAUCUCCCAGACAUAGCCGGGGUCGGUUCGUAUAGGCACAGCCCGCCAUGCGUCCAGCCACGUCCCGCUGCCAAGCAACAGCACAGCCAGCAAUCACCCAAGCAGCAGGAAAUCCUCUAGCCACAACACUCCUCACUGCUGCGGCCUACCACAUACUGUGCUGUGCUAUGCUCGCCAGCAAAGACCGCUAGCCAGCCACCGGCCGGCCUCAACCUGCGCGCCAGCGCUGCUUUGUGGGCGGCGCCGCGCUCUCCUCCUCCACGUGGCCUUGCUCGCCCCGCUCCGCUACGCACAUGCAUGCCGCCACUGCUGGGCCCAGGGCCGCUGCCGCCGCCAGGGCGCGAGGCCCUGUACCGC
Molecule: long non-coding RNA, 53741 nt
Filed under: Chlamydomonas reinhardtii
Lineage: Eukaryota; Viridiplantae; Chlorophyta; Chlorophyceae; Chlamydomonadales; Chlamydomonadaceae
Description: long non-coding RNA (CREI_LNC000741)
Source: RNAcentral